Molecule: long non-coding RNA, 83602 nt
Filed under: Medicago truncatula (barrel medic)
Lineage: Eukaryota; Viridiplantae; Streptophyta; Magnoliopsida; Fabales; Fabaceae
Description: long non-coding RNA (MTRU_LNC002966)
Source: RNAcentral
CAAAAAGAAAACACUAUAAAAGCAAAUUUAACAUAAAACUAAAACACUUCUCUCUCUAAGUUAAACUUAGAGAGAGAAGCUCUCCCCUCCUUCAAAGAACACGCGACCGGAGAAGAUGAAGAGGGGCGGCCGGAGCUGCUCCGGCGCGGUGGUCGGCCGGAGCGCCGCCGCGCCGGAGUUUUUUUUUUUUUUUGCUUUUUUUUUGAAAUUUUUUACAGUUUCUAAAAUCCUUUUUCUUGCUAAACCCAAAUCCGGUCUCAGAAUUUCCAAAACAAACUCGUACAAGUCUAGAUCUAGGAACAAAGAUUCAAAAAAAGUGAGCAAAAAAAAUACCUCUACUCUCUCUCUCCGGUUCGGUUUGGUUGCUCUCUCCCUUGUUCCGGUUCGUUUUGUUUCUUUUUCCCUCUGGUCCGAUUCGUCUCUGUCUGUUUUGGUUCGGUUCUGAUUUUCUAAACUUUGGUUUUGGAUUGUGUUUGUGGUGCUUGGAUUAUGUGAUGUUUAUGUUGAUUUCUGGAAAAAGAUUAGGAGGAUGAAAGCUCAUGAAUAUUCAUGAAUGUUGUUGGUGAUAUUCAUAUUUGUUCUUAUGAUUUUUGUGUUUGAUCUGGUAAAGAGGAGAGAGAGAAGGAAAUUGUGUUUGUGACUUGAUUGGAAAAAAUGUGUGGUUGCUGAUUUUUCUGUGAACAGUGAUUUCUCUGACUCAUGAACAGUGAUUUUUUUUCUCUCCCAUUUCCCAAUGAUUGACAGUGUUUUUAUAGGGACAAACUAGGGUUGGCUCUGGUACAAACAAAUGACCAAAAUGCCCCUGCAGCUGAGACUUGGAGAAAAAGAUUUGACCAAAAAGAUAAAUAGAUAAAUAAAAAACAAAAUGAAUAAAAUAAAUAAGAAAAUAAUAAAAAAAAUAAAAAGAAAAGAAAAGAAAGAAAGAGGUCACGUGAGUGACUUCUUUUUGUUUUUUCUAAAAAAAAAAAAAAAAAAAAAAGAAUAAAUAAUAAUAAACAAACUAGCCUAAAAAGAAAAUAAAAAAGUCCCUUCGGAAUCUGACAUGAGGUACUUCAAAGUAUCCUCCCUGCCGAAAUUUUGAUUGAAAAGAUUAAUAAAAAAAACGCCUUUUAAAAUGCGAUUAGCCAUUUUAAAAUGACUUGUCUGUUAUGACUAAAAGGAUUAUAAAAUGCGUUUAUAAAAAUGCAAAUGGAGUGAUUUUAAAUGUUGUAAAAAAUGCAAGCGAGGACUUAAAUGCAAGAUGAAAGUUUUUAAAUGAUUAAUGACGAAAAACACGAGUUUUAAAAGGUAAAAAAAACGAAUAAAAGAGAAUCUGAACUAUUAAAAAAUGUGGACAAAAAAGAUUUCAAAUGGUCCAAAUUUGGGGUAUGACAGAUGCCCCUAUUUAAGUUUCUUCGUCACGAAGGGUUUAAAAGGGGACCUUUUAAACCAAAGGGUCGAGGAGACUUAAAUAUAUAAAAAACGCCAAUUUUGGACCGUUUGAAAUGCCAGGGAUGUGAUGCUGAUGAAUGUGAUGAUAUGACUGAACAUGAUGCAAGUAUGAAUGUAAAGAUAAUGCAUAAAGACUGACUGGGGUUCAAUUGGAUAGGUAUCACUGGGGAAAGAACUGAUAAAUAAUGCUUAAAGUCGCCGUGAGAUAGCUUGAAACAACUAGAGUAUGAACGAUGAUGUUUAUUAACGUUGCUUCAAGAUAAGAUAAGGAUAUGAUUAGCCGACGAGUGGCAACAGUAAAGACAUGAUUAGCCGACGAGUGGCGGAAGUAAAGACAUGAUUUGCCGACGAGUGGCGCAAGUAAAGACAUGAUUGGCCGACGAGUGGCGAAAGUAAAGACAUGAUUGAGCCGACGAGUGGCGAAAGUAAAGACAUGAUUUAGCCGACGAGUGGCGAAAGUAAAGACAUGAUUAGCCGACAAGUGGCGAAAGUAAAGACAUGAUUAGCCGACGAAUGGCGAAAGUAAAGACAUGAUUUAGCCGACGAAUGGCGAAAGUAAAGACAUGAUUAGCCGACAAGUGGCGAAAGUAAAGACAUGAUUAGCCGACAAGUGGCGGAAGUAAAGACAUGAUUUAGCCGACCAGUGGCGAAAGUAAAGACAUGAUUUAGCCGACCAGUGGCGAAAGUAAAGACAUGAUUGGCCGACGAGUGGCGAAAGUAAAGACAUGAUUUAGCCGACAAGUGGCGAAAGUAAAGACAUGAUUGGCCGACGAGUGGCGAAAGUAAAGACAUGAUUGGCCGACGAGUGGCGAAAGUAAAGACAUGAUUUAGCCGACGAGUGGCGAAAGUAAAGACAUGAUUUAGCCGACAAGUGGCGAAAGUAAAGACAUGAUUUAGCCGACGAGUGGCGAAAGUAAAGACAUGAUUUAGCCGACAAGUGGCGAAAGUAAAGACAUGAUUGGCCGACAAGUGGCGAAAGUAAAGACAUGAUGGACCGACAGGGUUUGCUAACAUUGUGGGAUAGCGCACACACGGUAAAAAAACGGCAAGACAGACCAUUGGCAUUUGCUAAAAGCAAAGCCUCCGGUGAAAGUAAAGACAAUGUAAAGCUUGGUAUCAGGGGAGUGACUUGAUAAAGAUAAAGUUGAGGGGAACAAGGAAUUUGUCUGAAGACAACGGGGAAUUGUAUAGACUGAUUACUGGUGAGACCUGCCCCUUUGGAACAUGUUUGAUUUGAUGACAUUUUGGAGUUAGACACACUGGGGGUGAUAUCUAAGGAUAUUGAAAUAAGUCAUUGGGUAAAAAUGCAACUAUGUAUGAAUGAUCUUUAUAUGCGUGCUAUGUAUGCAUGAAUGAAUGAGUAUGUAUGAGAUUUGUAUAACAAUGCAAUGGUAAGAUUGGUUGAGACCAGAUUGGGCAUGUCCACAAGGAGAAUAGUCCGGCAUCACUGUGCGAACGCUCGAAACUUUCAUUGGGGAUAAAGUCACUGGAGAUGCAAUCAAGCCACUGCUGGGGUAAGACCCAAUGGUCAAAAGCUGGGGUAGAAGUCGCCAUUCCACAAACACAAUGUCGUACUGUCUUGUCUGAAUAGUCAUUGCUUUUUGUAUAUAUUUUGAAAUCCCUAACUUUUGCCUGGAUCGUCCUUUCGGAUUUUGGAUCCACCGGGGAGGUAUUUUUUCGUGUGCCCCUAAUUUUUUGCCUGGACCGCCCUUUCGGGUUUUUGAUCCACCAGGGCGCUCAUUUUUUUUGUUUUUUUUUUUUUGUUUUUUUUUUUUUUUUUGCAAUGACUACUGCUUCUUCGUUGAACUUGUUAGUUUCGGACCAACUGUUGACACAUACUUCUGUAUUUUCAAACUGUUCGAUGGAGAACAUGUCGUUUGAAAUACUGAGGAAGCGAGGUAAAGUGGAUUUCCAAACUGUUCAAAGAAGAACGUGCCAUCUGAAAUAUUGUGGAUUGGUGACAUCUCUGGAUCAGCCAAACUAGUGAUGACGCUUUGAAUGAGAUACAAUUGGAAUAAGACACUGGAUGGUAAUGCAAUUUAUGUAUAAAUGAUAUUUGUAUGCAUGUUAAAUGUGCAUGAAAGUUAUAUGCAUGUAUAUGUAUAUGAAUGAAUGUAUGAAUAUACGCAUGAAACUUGUAGGACCGUAUGACUGUAUCUAACAGGUGAAACUGACAAACAAGACUGGAUAGGUAAGAUAGGAGGUUGAAUGACAUCGCAGUACAAACACUCAGCAAUCUUCAUUGGAAAUAAAAUCACUGGCGAUGAAUCAAAUUAAUGUUGGGGUAAAGCACGAUAUCAAACCACUGGCAGGGGAAACAAACCAUUAAUCAGACCACUGAAGGGAGAAUGCCCCAUAAUCAAACCACUUGAAGGGAAAAUGCCCCAUAAUCAAACCGCUUGAAGGGAUAAUGACCCAUUAAUCAAACCACAAGCAGAAGUUGCCAUUAAUCAACCCACAUGCAGAAAUCGCCUUCAAUCAAACCACUAGAGAGGUACCAACCCAUGUUUUGGCAGAAGUCGCCAUACAUCAAACCAUAGGCAGAAGUUGCCAUUUGUAAACCAAUACCGAGUGCAUUCUUCCAUUUGACCCUCUUGCACUGUGAUGUCUCUGUCUCUUUUUUUUUUUUUUUUCAUUUUUUUUUUUUUUAUUUUUUUUUUUUUUUUUUGAAUCCCUAACUUUUGCCUGGACCGCCCUUUCGGGUUUUCAGUCCACCGGGACGCUCAUUUUUGGCUUAAGCCGCCCUUUCGGGUUUUCGACUUAGCAAGCUUUUUACUUUUUUUUUUUGACAGAGGUCAUCUCACAGCUUUUAGUCAUGCCAACCUUGCAGAGUUUAACUGUCCUUGAGACGGAUGUUGAUGUAUGUUUCACCUGCUCAUAAGUUCAAAGAACAUGUACUUGUUGUUUAUGCUUUUCAAAAGACAUGAUAAAAGUUUUUUUUUUUUUUUUUUUUUUUUUUUUUUUUAAAAAGAUUUUUUUUGAAUUUUUUUGCUUUAGGUAUUAACAUCAAAAAUAGAAGAAAAAUUUGCAAACAGAAUAAAUGAGAAUUUUAAAUAAAUGGGCACAAGCUCAAGUUAAUGUAAAUGGAAUGGUGGCCUGCCAAGGCGUGGCUCCACAGAUUUUAAAAGUUUGGAAAAAUAGUAAUUAUAUGGAAAAGGUACGUUGAACACAAUAACCACUGUUUCCUCUACCAACUUUGAAUUCCACUGUUUUGAGUCUUUGAUUUGCAGACGCUUCAGAUCGGAAGCCCUUUAACAGCUAAGAUGCCCCAGAUGAAUCAUAUCUGAUUUGAUGCAAUUACCUUGCCAUGAGUCGGAGGUCUUUUGACGGCUGAAAUGCCCCAUAUGAGUCAUGUCCGACCAGAUGCAGUUACUUUGUCAUGAUCCUUAACUUUUGCAUAGAUCGCCCUUGCGGGUUUCAACCUAUCAGGAUAAUCAUUUUUUUUUAUAUGUCUCUAACUUUUGCAUGGACCGCCCUUUCGGGUUUUCAGUCCAUCGAGACGCUCUUUUUUUGCCUAAGCCGCCUUUUCCGGUUUGCGACUUAUCGAGCUUUUUCAUUUUAACAAAGUAUUUCUUGACUGCAUCGGUAUACACAGGACAUACAAGUUUAACCUCAUGCUUUGUAUUAGGCAUUCAUUGCUCCUGAAGUUUGUUUAAAUCAGAUAGCAUAACUUUUGAGCACAAUGCCACUCUCUUGACAUUCAUGGGGACGAGCCUUCUCUUGUUGAAAACAUGCUUUUGAUACAAUUGUUCACGCCAUACAGCAAUAACACUUUUAAAUUCAAUCAAGCUUAGCUUUCAUUGGAACUCCCGUUGAUGGGACUUUGACCUUCAUGUGAGGCAUUGCCUUUAUGUUGUAUACUGAGGGAUGGAGGGGGGGUUGCCCCUGCUGAAGUGUUUACUUGAAGUACAAUAUCCUUGCAAGGAAAAUGGUGGCAUCUCGUGCCGGUCUUUGUACAUGAAAGUCAUCUUCUGGACAAUCUCUCUUGAUAUUUGCAGCUUCGACGGCCAAGAUGCCCCAGUAGGCGAGAAAUAUCAGUGGAAGCUUCUUCAUCAUCCUCUUCUUCAACCUCGGAUACAAGGAACUCAAAGUCGAGAGAGAGUACAUGGUUUAAGUGUUCAACGGGUUUAUUAAUGCAUGAUUUGAUUAUUGAUAUAAACAUUAUGAUUAUGCAGAUAUGUGGAAAUGAUUAAAGAAACAGUUUUUUUUUUGUUUUUUGUAUUACCAUUUUUCCAGAAAAAGCACAAAAUAAAACAAAGUCGGGAUCAAGACGACCUUUCACUAAUGAUGAAAAUACAUAAAGCAAAAAUCCCUAAACAAAUUCACUCUCGCCUCGGGUGGGACGAAAGGAUUUUUUUGGAAAAACAUAAAGCAACAAACAAACAUAUUAAUUGAACAAAAGAGUAGUAGAAAUAAACAUCAACAAAUACCAAAUUGCAACUAAACACUCCACAUGCCACCACAAGGUCCAAAGAUCCGAUAGAGGAUUAACUUGCACAUUCAGAUCCAAACUCUUCGAAAGGUAUGAGAUCGUCUUCAAUCAGUUUCUGGACCGCAAUCUUCAAAGAAAAACAGCGCUCGACAUCAUGACCUUGUGCCCCUUGAUGGAAAACACAAAAGAGAUCAGGUCUCCAUCGAGCCGGCAAUAUUUUCGGUAUCGGAGGAGGUGGUCUGGUUUGGACAAGGUUCCUCUCAAGCAAAUAGGGAAGCAACUUUGCAUAUUUAAUUGGAAUUGGAUCAAAUUUUAUUCUUGGAGCCUGUAGUCGAGGUUGUUGUUGAUAUUGUUGAGAUUGGGACUGAUAACCCAGAUCUUGGACCGCGUUCAUGAUGGGCAUAACAGCAGAAACAGAGAGAGGAGCCAGAUAUUGUUGUUGGCUUGGUUGAAACUGGGGUUGAUAACCCGGAUCUUGAACAUUGGUGAUGGGUGUAACAGCAGCAACAGAGUGAGAAGCCAGAUGUUGUUGUUGAAGUAGCACUUUUAUAUCUGGGUCUUCAAUCAACUUCUGAACUUUUUCCUUCAAAGGAUAAUACUGCUUAGUGUCAUGAUCUCGUGCCCCUUGAUGGAAGGCACAAUUGCGGUCAGGACGAUACCCGGGAGGCAGCGUAUUUGGCACAUGAGGAGGUGACGGGGUUUGAACAAGGUUCGUCUUCAGCAAAAUGGGAAGCAAAUCCGCAUAUUUCACAGGAAACGGGUCACACUGCGAUGCUUUUUGGGCCUGAUUUUGAGGUAUAAGCGGUUGAGGAGACUGAUUUUGAGGGAUAAACCGCUGAGAACCCUGUUGUCGAGACCGUUUCAUGCAUAUUGGCUGACAUAGUGCCUGAGGCCUUUGUUGGACAAGCGGUGGAUCCUUUGUAGCCAUCAAUGAAGAUACAAGGCUAGUUAACUUCUCUACCUCAGCCCGAAGUGUUGUUAUUUCUCCACGAAGCUCGUGGACCUCUUGCUCAAGUUGAUCCAUCUUUUGUGUUUGCACGAGUGUCUGCAUAUGUGAGCCGAACUUGGAUGAAGACAUCUGACCACUUUACUGUUGGAUUGACCUUUUGUAGGUAAAAACAAAAAUAUGAGACAUGGACUAGAAACUAUGAAUGCAAAGAUGAUGCAUGAUAUGCUUAUGCAAAAAUAGAUUUUUUUUUUUUUUUUUUUUUUUUUUUUUGAAGGACUUGUUAAAGUGAAAUGUAAACAUGGCAGAGGAACAUGGUUUCAUUUGAAAAUUGUCAAGAUAUUUACAAUAGGUUUCUUUUUCAAAAGGUAAGAACGAAACCAAGGAAGAAGUUCUUUAACAUAAGCUAAAAGCUUAGUUAAGAUUUUGGAAGUUGUAUUUCUCGGUGUUCAUUCUUACAAGGUCCAUAUCCGUGAUGUUUACAAAAACUUGUCUAAGUCCUUCAAAAAAAUUUUUUUGAUGGAAAAGGUUGUUUAUGAAUGAAUGCAUGUAUGCAUGGUUAUGCUAAGUGGAUAGAAUACAUGGUGAGGGUAAGUUCCACAACGUUGGAGUCAAUGGUAACAACGCCAUUUGGUAAGGACUAUGGUUUCAAAUGUACCUGUAUCACGGGUUCUACCAAGUUCCCAAAGUCUUUAACCACUUCCGAAUAUUUAUCGGGUGACAGGAGUACUCCCAUUCCAAUUAUAUUCGUCGGAAAGUCUCGUUUGGGUGUAGUAUCGCGUAUCAACUAAUUCAAGAGUACUCUCGAUUAGCCACCGCACUACGUCCUAAAAGGCCAAGAGGGGUUAAAGGUGACUAAAGGUCCUCAACUUCAAAGGUCACUUGAAAAUAGCAUGCCAAACAUGAGUACUCACGUUGACAACAUAUACUUCCAAGAUCCCUCCGUUGAGUGGGGUUAUCACAUGUGCCAAUACCGAAGAGUACUCUUGGCAUGGAACUAUGAUUAUACCGCCGUCCUAUCUUAAGUUUCCCUCAAGCUCGGGUGUAGAGCUUAUCUCACCACUCACGUAAUAAAGUAAACAUGUAAGCAAAAUAUUUGCAAAGCAUAAAUAAAGCACAAAAUAAAUAAAGCAAGGUGGGUUUAACCCGCGUAGGAUCUAAGUCCCCAGUGAAGUCGCCAUUUCUGUGCUCGCGAUUUUCGGAUGUCAAACCAUUAAUUGAUUUGAAUCGUCGAUCUUUGAACUCUCGAUUUUUAUUCUUGGGAAGGGAAAAAAUGAGUAAAAACCCUUAUCGAGACUUUGGAUUCGGGGGUUGGUUACGCGAAGGGAAGGUGCUAGCAUCCUAAGCGUCUAUGGUAUUUCAUAGGAACCUCUUACCUAGAUUAUUUUGUGCUAAACUACUUGUUUAUUUGAAAAAAUAUUGCCUAACGUCUAAGUGAAAGAAUGGAGGGAGAAGAAGUAUGUUUUUGGUUAUUUUUAUUUGAUUUGGAAGGACGAGUCCUCUGCCUACGUACCCUUUUUGGGAAAGGGAUCAAAACCGACGUAGUUCCACUCAAGAAUUUCUUUGGUGGGUUAGGUUGAUUUUAAGAUUUUUUUCGAAAAUGGGUUUUAAGAAGAGAAAGAGGCCUCAAGGCAUGAGAUAAAGAAAACAAGUGAGGUUGAUUGAUUUUAAAUUUUGAAAAUGAUCGAAGUUGAAUUAAAAUUGAUUGAGAAUUUGAUUAAGAAAAUAAAGAGAAAAUGUUGUUAAGAAAAUGAUUUUUUUCUAAACUAACGGUGAAAACUAACGUAACGUCGUAAACUAACGGAAAGCGGUAAAUAAAAUGUGGUAGUGUCGGUGCAUGUGUCGGUGCUUGUGUUACCUACAUUAUUACACCAAUUCCUAAAUACAAACCUAAGGCCUUUAUGCCAAAAUAAAAAUGCAAAAAAAUAAAAUUACAUCAAUUCCCUAUUUAUACAUACUAAGCCAAUGACAAGAUAAAAUGAUGAGAAAAUUAAAUAUGCAUGCUAUGAUUUAAGACAAAAAUUAAAUGGUUAGUAAUCACAAGAAAUAUUAUGGUGAAUGAGACAUAAGAAAUAAUAAGCAAGAAUUAAGACAAAUAAAAAUUAAGGUCAUCAUAUAAGAAAUAAAUAAGAAACCAUAAAAAAGGAAAACAAAUAGAAAGGAUUUUUAAAAUUAGAGAAAAUUAAAAUAGUGAGAAAAAUAUUUUUUGGAAUUUUUCUAAACACAAAAAUGUCAAAAAGUGCAAAAACAGUAUUUAACAAAUAAAGAUAAUUGAAAUAAAAAAUAAUAAAACAUUGGCUCAGCAGGAUUAAUUCUGGACCAUUGGAUUAAAUCAAUGGUCCAAGUUCAAACCCCUGGAUUCAUCAUAGCCAUUGGAUCAAAGAUCCAAGGGUUAAAAAAAACACAAAAAUAGAGAAGGUAACAAAAGAAAGCACAGCGACCGUCAGAUCAACGAUCUGACGGUUCAAACAGAAAGCAUACCACAGUCCACACAGCAGAACACAUACAGAAUUUAAAACAGAUCAAACAGUGGCCGUCAGAUCAUGGAACGAUCCAGAUCUGAUGGCUACUAACGCGAUGGAGCAUUGUAUGGUUAUGAGUACGUGCGCGUGUGAUCCGGCAAAAAGAAAACACUAUAAAAGCAAAUUUAACAUAAAACUAAAACACUUCUCUCUCUAAGUUAAACUUAGAGAGAGAAGCUCUCCCCUCCUUCAAAGAACACGCGACCGGAGAAGAUGAAGAGGGGCGGCCGGAGCUGCUCCGGCGCGGUGGUCGGCCGGAGCGCCGCCGCGCCGGAGUUUUUUUUUUUUUUGCUUUUUUUUUGAAAUUUUUUACAGUUUCUAAAAUCCUUUUUCUUGCUAAACCCAAAUCCGGUCUCAGAAUUUCCAAAACAAACUCGUACAAGUCUAGAUCUAGGAACAAAGAUUCAAAAAAAGUGAGCAAAAAAAAUACCUCUACUCUCUCUCUCCGGUUCGGUUUGGUUGCUCUCUCCCUUGUUCCGGUUCGUUUUGUUUCUUUUUCCCUCUGGUCCGAUUCGUCUCUGUCUGUUUUGGUUCGGUUCUGAUUUUCUAAACUUUGGUUUUGGAUUGUGUUUGUGGUGCUUGGAUUAUGUGAUGUUUAUGUUGAUUUCUGGAAAAAGAUUAGGAGGAUGAAAGCUCAUGAAUAUUCAUGAAUGUUGUUGGUGAUAUUCAUAUUUGUUCUUAUGAUUUUUGUGUUUGAUCUGGUAAAGAGGAGAGAGAGAAGGAAAUUGUGUUUGUGACUUGAUUGGAAAAAAUGUGUGGUUGCUGAUUUUUCUGUGAACAGUGAUUUCUCUGACUCAUGAACAGUGAUUUUUUUUCUCUCCCAUUUCCCAAUGAUUGACAGUGUUUUUAUAGGGACAAACUAGGGUUGGCUCUGGUACAAACAAAUGACCAAAAUGCCCCUGCAGCUGAGACUUGGAGAAAAAGAUUUGACCAAAAAGAUAAAUAGAUAAAUAAAAAACAAAAUGAAUAAAAUAAAUAAGAAAAUAAUAAAAAAAAUAAAAAGAAAAGAAAAGAAAGAAAGAGGUCACGUGAGUGACUUCUUUUUGUUUUUUCUAAAAAAAAAAAAAAAAAAAAAAGAAUAAAUAAUAAUAAACAAACUAGCCUAAAAAGAAAAUAAAAAAGUCCCUUCGGAAUCUGACAUGAGGUACUUCAAAGUAUCCUCCCUGCCGAAAUUUCGAUUGAAAAGAUUAAUAAAAAAAACGCCUUUUAAAAUGCGAUUAGCCAUUUUAAAAUGACUUGUCUGUUAUGACUAAAAGGAUUAUAAAAUGCGUUUAUAAAAAUGCAAAUGGAGUGAUUUUAAAUGUUGUAAAAAAUGCAAGCGAGGACUUAAAUGCAAGAUGAAAGUUUUUAAAUGAUUAAUGACGAAAAACACGAGUUUUAAAAGGUAAAAAAAACGAAUAAAAGAGAAUCUGAACUAUUAAAAAAUGUGGACAAAAAAGAUUUCAAAUGGUCCAAAUUUGGGGUAUGACACCGUCGAAGGGGAAAGAUGUAGGCCGAAUUCUUUUGUCCCUUGAAUGUAUCGUAUAAUGCGUUUUAGGGCUGCAAAAUGCGAUGUUCGUGGAUCAUGCAUAGAGACAAAUUUGUUGAACUGCGUAGGAGAUGUCUGGCCUUGUAAAUUUAAGAUAUUGGAGAGCACCGGCAAGUGAACGGUAGAGUGUUGGAUCCUCAAAUUUUUCACCAGAAGUUGCACUUAACUUGGAUUUGGUGUCCACUGGUGUGAGUGCCGGUUUACAAUUCACCAUUUUAGCACGAGAGAUUAUGUCUUCUGCAUACUUGGAUUGAUGCAAGAAUAACCCACCAGAAUGACGAGUAGCCGACACGCCUAGGAAGUAAUUCAAAGGGCCCAAGUCCGUCAUGGAGAAUUCAGACCGGAGAGCAGCAAUAAUGGUGUCACGAAGAGAGUGUGAGGAUGUAGUGAGAAUAAUAUCAUCAACAUAGAGAAGAAUAUAUGUUGUGUCGUCACCAUGAGUAGAGAUAAACAGAGAGUGGUCGGUCUUGCUAUUGAGAAAACCGAUGGUGGAGAGAAAAGAUGCAAACUGUUGGUACCAUGCUCUUGGGGCUUGUUUAAGGCCAUAUAGUGAUUUCUUUAGAAGACAGACAUGAUCCGGAUUAUUUCGAUCACGAAAUCCAGGAGGCUGAUGCAUGUAGACGGUUUCAGAAAGGUGUCCAUGGAGAAAAGCAUUCUUUACAUCAAGUUGAUGAAUGGUCCAAUUCUUUGACACUACAAUGCUUAGUACCACACGAAUAGUAGCUGGUUUCACCACUGGACGGAAAGUCUUGUCACAGUCGAUACCCACCUGUUGAGACCUGCCAUUGACAACAAGACGAGCCUUAUACCGCUCCAAAUCACCGUUAGAUUUAUAUUUGUGUUUAAAAAACCAAAUACAUCGAGUAAUAUUAACAUCAGGAGGACGGGGAACCAAGACCCAAGUCUUAUUUUUAAUAAGAGCAUCAAAUUCGUCGGUCAUGGCCUGUUUCCAAUUCCUAUCAUGGAGUGCGGAUAUUGGGCAUUUGGGAAUUGGUGAGAUUGAGGUGGUGAUAGAGAGGUCAAAAAUGGCUUUGGGUUUGUGAAUGCCAUGUUGUGCUCGUGUUCUCAUUGGGGGAGAGGGGAUAGGUGAUGUGGCUACAGUUUGAUGUGUGGGUUCGGGUGUGGUUACCUGAGGAGCUAUAGGAGAAGUAGUGGGUGAUGUAGUAGGUGUUAUUGUUUGGACGUUAGAUGCAGGCGGAGAGUGGAUAAUGUGUGUCAUAUACGGGGAUGGGUCGCUGUCUAAAAAAGAGUAAGAAGAGGCAGGUGUAGGUGGGUUAUGUGAUAGGGGAAAGAUUGACUCAUUGAAGGUUAUAUGACGAGCCGUGAUAAUCUUACGUGAGGAUAUGUCGAGACAGAGGAAGCAACGAUGAUGUGACGGAUAGUCGAGGAAGACACAGGGAGUGGAGCAUGCAUCGAGUUUAUGAGUUGUCGAUGACGGGAGGUGGGGAUAACAUAGACAACCAAAGGUUUUUAAUGAACUGUAAUCUGGGUGUCGGAGGUAGAGAGAAGAAGUGGGGGAGACAAAUUUCUUUGACUUGCUAGGAAGGAUAUUGUGUAGAUAGGUUGCCAUAGAGAGGGCGUAGUGCCAUUUUGAAGGGGGAAUGUUAGCGUGAAGCAAAAGGGUUCUUAUCGUGUUGUUGAGUGUUCUAAUUUUACGUUCGGCUUUUCCAUUUUAUGGGGAGGUGUGAGGACAGGAAAAUCUAAAUGUCAUGCCAUGUUUUUUGAAAAAUUCAUGAAAUGGUGAAUUAUCGUACUCACGACCGUUGUCGCAUUGAAGAUUUUUAAUAGGGCAAUUAAAUUGGGUUGUAAUAAACGUGUGAAAUUUAGUGAAGAUAUUAAAAACUUCCGAUUUGUGUUUGAUGGGAAAAUUCCAAAGAAAGUUAGUAAAAUCGUCAAGAAAUAACACAUAAAAACGAUGACCCAUAGUGCUAACAACAGGUGAGGUCCAUAAAUCACUGUGAAUAAUAUCAAAUGGAUAACAUGUAGAAGAAGUAGAUGAAGAAAAAGGUAAUUUUGUAUGUUUACCCAACUGACAUGAAUGACAAAAAUGUUUAGAAAUCGAACGACAUGAGAUAAAGUUAUUAUUACGAAGAACACUAAAAAUGGCUGGACUCGGGUGGCCCAAGCGGUUGUGCCAAGUAGAGGCGGAAAAGGUCGUGAGAGCUUGAGGUGUUGAACUUUCGGUUUGGUGCGUGGGUAGGAGAGGGUAGAGCCCGCCCAAACUAUUGCGCCUCAUAAGUGGCUUCCCUGUCUGCAUAUUCUUCACAGUAAAACCAAAACGAUCAAAUUCAACAGAUACGUUAUUAUCAGAAGUGAAUUUUCUAACUGAGACAAGGUUUUUAAUAAUAUGUGGGGCAUGGAGAACAUUUUUUAACUGUAAGGGUGGUAAGGGAGGUUGAAGCUACUUCACUCCAUAGCCAAGAAUUGGAAUUUCAGUACCAUUUCCAACAAUAAUUUUAUUAUUGGUGCUCAAAUUAAAAUAAGAAGAGAGGGUACCUAAGUUCGACGUCAUAUGGGAGGAUGCUCCUUAUCCAUAUACCAAUUGUCGUCAAGCUGCUGAAGAGACAUGGUCUGCAUAGUGGCUGCAAUGUCAGUGGGUACAAGCGCCCCUUGCGGUGUACAAAGAGUCUGAUUUUGGGCAAGAAAAGCGUGUGGUCUAGGUCCCAAAACACCAGCACCACGACCAGUAGCAGAAGGAGCCCAGCCCGUGGUAGGGUAUGGACAUGGUGGUGGAUUCCAGGGUGACUGUUGUGGCCAAGAGGGAGGCGCAAAAGGAACCCAUGUCCAAGGAGCAGGCUGAUUUCCUUGUCUGUUAUUUGUGCCAGAGUUAUUUUUGUUAUUAUCAGAGGAAUUCUUGUAAGAGUUACCUUUGUUAUUAUUAUGAUUUCCCUUGCCACGAUAUUGCUUUCCACGACCUCCGGUGUUGCGGUUGCUGUAGCGAGAAGGUGCAACCUCAGAAGACCGGUUAGGAGCGGCAGAAGAAACAUCAGAUUGUGUGUGGACGAGAGCAGACUCGGCACCAGUGUUCUUAUUGCGACGGGUUUCCUCAAGUGUGAGCAUAGAUCUCGCUUUGUAGAACGAUGGCAGCGGAUCUAGUUGUUGAAUGAUGGUGGCGAGACUAUCGUACCCACUUGAGAGGCCUGUCACAAGGCGGAGGACCAGGCGAUCCUCGCUGACCGGAGCCCCAACAUUGCCGAGUUGUUCGGCUAUCAGUUUCAAUGCUUGGCAAUAAGACGACGCAUUUGGAUAAUUAUCCAUGUGGAUUUGGGAGAAUUGUUGUUCCAGAUAUACGGCUCUAGAGUUUUUAUUGUCGUGAAAGAUGUCCUUCAAGCGAUUCCAUGCUUCUUGAGCGGUGGCACCGGGUUUUAGAAUCGUAUGGAGGAGAUCAAUGGAUAUUGUGCUAUAAAUCCAUUGUUUCACGAUUGCAUCGAGGCAGGACCAUUGUGCAUCUUCCUUAACAGUCGCAUUCUUGGGUGGAAUGAUGUGAUCAGCGACAUCAAAUGCAUUGGCCGCAUUAAGGAACAAUUCUGCCCAUGAAUCGUAAUGAACGUUCUCCAUUUCUAGGGUGAUUUGAAUGUGGUUUUUGAUGUUUGAGACAGAAAAAGCAGGAUGGAAAGUGGAUUUAGGUGUGGAGUCGUUGCCAGCCAUUUGAAAAGGGAAGGAAUGGGCUCGGUGGAGAGGAGAAAAGAAAACAGAGGAUGAGAUGAUUGUGGGGGAUCGUUAUAGGGUUGAUACCAUACUGGAGAAUAAUUCCCCUCUGUGUUUCAUUCCAUUCAUGGUCAUUAUAUAUAUGUACAACAUAACUUGCUUCUUGAUUUCCUGUGAAACCAGUUCACAUAUUCUAGCCUAAGACUUGGCAUAGUAUCACACUAAUUAUGAAUAAUAUCAAGCUAAUAAUUACAAUGAAGACUAGUUAUUACAAUGAAUGUGGACAUAUAUACAUAUAGUCUAAUAGUCGCAAUUUAGAUGGCGCGCGGCACUCUUUUCCAAUGGAAGGAAGCAAGAAAUGUGAAUGUUGUGUAGGUCCAGCCGCAACAAAUUAAUAUUGUGGUGAAUUUUUUGCAGGGCCAGCAGCAACAUAUUAAUAUUGUGCAGUGGCAGCCACCAGAGACGAAUUACGUUAAGUGCAAUGUUGAUGCAACACUGUUUGCGGAACAACAUAGCUUUGGAAUUGGAAUGUGUAUCCGGAAUCACCGAGGUCAUUUCAUCAAAGCGGCAACGACAUGGCAUGAUGGAAUUCCACCACCGCAGGAAGCAGAGGCAAUCGGUUUACAUGAUGCUAUUCUUUGGCUUCGACAAUUGGGAAUAUCAAAUGUGCACUUUGAGCUAGAUUGUAAGCUAGUAGUCGAUAGCAUACUUGAUAGGACUAAUAAUCAAGCUGAGUUUGGUAAUAUAAUAUCUAUAUGUAAGUCUCUACUAUCCCAAUCUCCAAACUUUAAGAUAAGUUUUGUUAGGAGGCAAGCGAAUUCCGUCGCCCAUAGCUUAGCAAAGGUGUCACGGAUGCAUGCUCGUCACCAAGUGUUUGAUUUGAUUCCAUCUUGUAUUGACUCUAUUGUGAGAAAUAAAAUAAUUUGAGUUUUUGUUUGUAAAAAAAAUCAUAAUAUACAUGUUGUUUCAAUAAUAUGAGGUUUAAUUGCAGUUUUGUUCCACGCAAAUUUUGAAACUUUCUAAAAUGAAGCUAGAGUGGACAUUUACUUGUUUGUUACUUGUAUACUAGCCUUUAUUUAUAUGGAGAAUGUUAACCUGUGUCCCUGAGGCAUUGAUUAAGCACCAAAUAAGGUAAGUUUUUAUUAAAAAAAUAAUGUAAUUAUUACUUGUAAAAAGUGACCGUUUAUAUUUCCAAGACAAAAAUUCUAUUUGUAGAUUCUUUAACCAAUGCCCCAGAGCACCGGUUUACAAGACCCUAUUUAUAUAGCACUUAUCUUUUAUUAAUUUUGAUUGACCUCUCCCACUUAAUUUUCGGUUGUAACAACACUAAGUUAGGGAAAUUGAUUAAAGUACCCUUGGGGUGGAUAUGUUUCUUAUUUGACCAAAUCCAUGGACGGCCUUAAUUAAUUCUCCGUAUAGGUCCAAUAACUUAAAUGUGCCAACAAAAGUUGUGAUUGAAUUUCAAACUAGUGUUUCUUUUCCAUCCUCAAACCUUGCGGUGUACCCUAUUUUGGAUUAUAAAAUCCAAAAAAUGUGGAGGAUUUUUAGCAUGUUUUACGCUUUUUAGAUUGUAUAAUCUGAAAUCUAUAGAACCCAUGAAAAACAAUAGGAUGGAGAACGAAAAACUCGUUUAUUUUUUGUCGUAACGAAACACUCAUUUCAAACAUAUAUAGAUGGAAAAGAUUAGUCCAAUUUUAAAAUCACUGAGUCAUUUAGUUGAACUUGCAAUCCCCAUUAGUCUCGCUGUUGAAUUUUCUUUGAAUGACCCUGUCUAAAGAGGAAAAGAGAGUUAGAUUAGAUUAGAAUAAAGUUUAAAUGGGGUGAAAUGAAAAGCUUUGGAUUUAUGUUUGAAAGUCACCCCGAUAAAUUAACCAAUGUGUGGAUUUUGAUUUCAACUAACAUAUGGAACUUGGUACGUUAUAUUAGAGACGGUCAUGAAGUAGGAGGAAAAAUUAUACUUAUUUCGAUUUUUUUUUUGGUUAUUUUGAAUAUUUUAUAAGAGAAAUGUUAUGGUAUGCUAUACUUAUUUUGAAUAUUGUAAGUGAAGGAAUUAAAAUAUUCAAAAUAACCUCUAAAAAUAUUCAAAAUAAGUAUACCAUAGCAUUUCUCCUAUAAGAUGGAAAAAAAAGUGAAGUAGCUAUAAUUUUAUUGGAGUGUGUUAUAAUUGUAUGUUUGAGAGUAUCACCUUAACGUUUCUCUUUUAUAAUGUUGGGUUUUAGUUUCAAUAAAUGCAAAAAAAAUGAAUUGAUUUAACUAGUAAAUAUUGUCACUAUACAAAUAUUUUACAUCGUCAAUCAAUAAAAAUUGUUAAAUCAUUAAUAAAUGUUGAGUGAAGACUUAACUUAGUCCUUCAUAAUUUUUUCUCCGGUCAAUUUAGUUCUUGAUAUAAAAUAAACUCAAACUAGUCUCCGACAGUUUAAUAUUAAAUUUUUCUAUUCACAUCCCAUAUAUUUUUUAUUACAUCCAAAUUUUCUUAAAAGUUUUUUAUAAUACCAAAAUUGUCUUUUUAUAUAAAAAAAAUUAAAAUAUUGAUUUCAUUCAUUGUCACUCUAAAAUUCCACUUUAUUUCACCCACAAAUGAUUAAACAAUCCUAAAUUGAAUCAAAACAUCGUUCAUCCAUACUUGAUUGCAUAUAAGUAAGUGAAUUUCUUCUUCUUUUUCAAUAAUGAUAGUUUCAAUUUUCUUCUUCUUGUUCAACUGCAUUGUACGACGUUUCAAUUUUACAUUGUUGAGGUUAACUUAAAUUCAGUUUAUGUAGGUUAUGUAAACUAAGUUUACAUAACCUACAUAAACUGGAAGUUUAAGUAACCUACUUAAACUGAGAUUACGUAGAAUCAUUGAACAAGGUUGAACCUACUUAAACUCAGUUUACAUAACCCUAAACUAAGAAUCAAAAAUCAGAGAAAAUAUGGAGAAGAACACCAAACAAACCCAUAAAUCGAAUUGGCCCGAUCGAAAAGAAAUUGAAUUCGAAAAUAACUAGAAUCAAAAAUCGCAGACAAGAAAAAGAAAAACAUAUAAUCGCAGAAACAUGAAAAACACAAAUUGAAACCAGAAAAAGCUUAGAAUUAGGGAACCCAUGACAAGAAAAACAUAAUUGAUCGAAGAACACCACUUGCUAACCUCAUUUGCUUCGAACUUUCUUUGAAAUCUUGCAUAGAAGGGAUAAAUCUGCUUGAAGAAGGAAAGAUGGGAGAGGAGUUUUGGGGUGUAACCAAGAAAGAAGGGAGAGGUUUUUUGAAAAUUAAAUUUUAUGGAAGGGUAAUUUUAUCAUUUUGGGGUGUAACCAGGAUUAAACAAGGUGUAAUUAGAAAAACUCUUUAAUAUUAGGGACAAAUUAGUCUCUUUGUCAUAAUGAAUCAAGGACUAAUUUAUGCUUCAUAUAAAAAUGCCAAUGACAAAUAUGAGUUUAUUUUUUUGUCUAACUUAAUUGGCUUGAGAGGAAGUUGUGAUGGAAUAAAUUGUGUAUUCACUGAAAAAUGUUUGAUUUUUUUUUUCUAACUACUUUUAAGGUUGUUUAUUUAAAUGGUUUUGAUUCGAUGAUAGUGUAAAAAAAUUCAUUGACAAUAUAUAAAUUAAACUCACAAUUUAAACUUUAUCUCGACUUUUAAAUAAAGUGUAACCGUACUUUUCCACAAGUCCUAUCUUAACUGAUCAAAAUAUUGAAAUUUUUAGGUUGGAUGUCGUGAUAAGGAUUCGAACUUUGACUCUUCCAUUUAUGUGUGAAUUUCCAACAAAUAUUGACAGUGUUGACUUAAGACCUUGGAGUCGAUUCUCCACAAUGUCAAUUUGAGUGGAUUGAUUUAGCUCCUUACAAAAAAUAUUUUACCCAUAUAAGCUUGUUAAUUUGGUUUUAAAUUUUUCAUCAAAAGGAAGGAAAAGACAUAAACAAGAAUCGGUUUGCUAAUUUUAUAUCCUUGUGAACUUAGCUUAGUUGGUAUGGACAAUACAUAAUAUAUGUAAGGUCGGGGGUUCAAACCCCGCCACCACAAAAAAAAAAUGUGAAAGAUAAUAUAAAAAAUAAUCUAAUGAUUGAGAGAGUAUGAUAGAAAUAUGUUCCUCAUUUAAUCUAAUGGACAUGAUCAACUUUCCCAUGGUGGGAAAAAACUCUCUUUUCCCAAAUUAAAUGGCACCUGAACUUGAAUAUAUAACAAAAAUAAAUUAUUCAUUUGUCUGUUCAAUUCUACUAUGGAGUAUUUUAGGUACAAUUCUACUAUGGAGUAUGCCAUAGAGAAUCUCGAGUGAUGUUCCAUGCACAGUUCUUGAGGCAAUAACAAUGUGCUCUUAGUGUCUAGUCCAUUGGAGUGGAACUAUCAAGCUCAUGUACUUCAAAAUGGAUAUGUACGGUGUCCACUGCGUAUCCUGCACUGAUAUCUGUCCGAUACUUCUUGAUACGUAUCAGGAGAGUAUUCAGAGAUUAAAUUUUAUUUUAUUUUUAAAACAAUUAUACGAUAUUUUUCAAAUACAUCUAGGAUAUGAGUGAAGUGGAAAACCGAUAUGUACGAGUUAGUUGAUGUUUCUAUUAUAUUUGGUAUAUACGUAAUUGCUAAGUAAUGAUGUUUUCUAUUUAGAAUAUAUCAUAUAUGUAAUUGACUAAUUGUCGCUUUCUUUAUUAUCAAUAUUACUUAUAUUUAUAUUUCUAUUGGUGUUGCCGUCUGUUUUGUGUCCCUUUGUUUGUUUGAGAACGAUGUUAUUGUUGAUUGUCGUGUGAAGAUAAUUUCUUUGUUAUGCCUUAUCGUUUUUCUAUGUCUGUUUGGUCUAGGUUUUGCGCCAAUUUUUUUGCUUUUGAGUUUUAGUCCAUAUUUUGUAUUUUGAGUUUUAAUAUGUAGUUUAAAUUUAAUUUUUUAUUGAAGUAUCUCAGCCGUAUCGUAUCUUGAAUUUUAAAAUUUUUCCGUAUCAACGUAUCGAUGCCGUAUUGUAUCUUGUAUCUGGGCUUCAUUGGAGAGGAAUGAUGUGGAUGCACUUUGGAGAACAAUUAUUCCUAGAAAACGCCCAAGAACAAAGGGAAAGCAGAGUUUGUAGGGACCAUAAAAAGACAAGUUAAAAAGGGAAAGCAAAAAUUAUGAAUUGUGGGACCUUAAAAAGUAAUAUAAGAACACAAAUAUGAUUCUUUACCUUGGAGUAGAAAUGAGUGAUAGUUCUUAAAUCUUAUGUGAUAUCCAUGAACCCACAAAAAAUGGUUGAAGAACAAAAUUUUGACUCUAGCAUUGUAGAUGCUCUAAGGUCUUAACUUUUUAGCAAAUUUAAUUCACUUAAACUAUUCUAAUAAAGGAAUCUGCACCCUUCAUUAAUUUAUCUCUGGGAAUUUAGAAAAAGGAAAAAACUUAUGUGUGUUUGUUUGGGUGUUUUUUUUUUGUAUGGUUCUUAAAUAAAAUUACAUAUUUUUUGGAUAUAACAAACUUUAAGAAAACUAUAGAUUUGAUGUAUUUAGUUAAAAACCAUGCGAAAAAAAAGCUAAGAAAAUUCACCAAGUUUUUUCCUUUAGAAAAUACUAAUGAAGUUAAGUGAUAGUGUCCAAUUUCAUUGACAAUAUGAAUGUGUGUUGCCUUAUCUACUGGAAAUCCAAAUUCCUGUGGUUCCAACAUUUCAAUACAAAGUAAUCUAACACCAAAAAUUUCUCAACUUCAUAUGACUCCCCUAAAAAAAUGUCACAGAACCAUAGAACAAGGCAAUGAAAAUGAAGAGAGAGAAAAAAAAAGUAUGAUAUAUUUCAUUCUAUGAGCAAUAGUUGUUUAGCAAACAAUGAAUGGUAACUAAAAACUGUAAACAACCAAAAAAACCUGUCACUGUUACUUACAAUGGCUACUUGAAAAUUAAUCACUAAAAAAUCAAGGAAAUUGGAAUGACCCUCCAAUUUGAUUGUUACCAGAAGGAGGAUCAAUAGCAACCCAUAGAAGUGAUAUAGUGAUUGAUAUUAAUGCUGACCAAACAAACACAAUUGUUGGUGUUCUACCUCUUCUACCCAUAAGCCCUUUUGCAAAUGGAUAUAAAUGAGCCAAUACCCAAAAACUGAAGAAUACGCCUCCGAGUAAACUACUCCAUUGACGAUCAUCGCUGUAUAUAGUCCUACUAACCGCAGUUGCAAUUGCGAUUAAGUUAACCAUCAUGAUUGUGAGUGGUGGUAUCAUCAAGGAGGACCAUUUGAUGAUGUAGAGAUCAGCAUACUCGUCGUUUUCAUCAUCGCCGGAGGAUUUUGAUGUUAAAGUGAAUGAGAUCUCGAUGCCGGCUAUAACUUUGAGUAGACCUUGAAGAACUGCAGCAAAAUGUGCACUUGUGCCUCCUAUCAACCAGAAUUGCUCGUUUCUCCACCAUUCUUCGAGUUCGAUGCCUGACCAUUUGAUCUCAAGAAUAGCAAGAAGAAUAAGUGUCACGGUGAUUCCCAAGAGGUAAAUUAAGAAAGUGACUUGAAGGGAUUGGACUAUGAACUGGCCGGUGAAGAGUGAAAGAGCCGGGAGGAAGCAAUAAACAAUGAGGAAGAAUGAAGUGAAUGGAUAUAUUCCAACAUUAAGAUAAGCAAUCCUUUGCAAAAAUUUCAGUCUAGAGUUAGCCAAGAUUGCAUUGUUCCGUGAAAAGAAUAUUUCGACCGAGCCAGUUGCCCAUCGAAGAACUUGGUGAAGCCGGUCUGUCAAAUUGAUUGGAGCAGUACCACGGAAGGCAUCCCUCUUGGUCACACAAUACACAGACCUCCAUCCUCUAUUGUGCAUUCUAUAACCUGUCACAACAUCCUCGGUUACCGACCCGUAAAUCCAUCCAACUCUAUCUCCCCAUUCGGUCUUAUCUUCAUACCAGCAUGAGAUGACACUGAUUGCCUCAGCGAUAGUAGCAGCAUCAAGAAGAUCUCGAGGAAGUGUUAGAGCACCAGGUUGACGUCCAUUUUUGAUGGAAGGAUGAUCAGCAAGUGGUCUCCCUUGGAACUCUGCCACCCUGAUUGAGUCAACAAAAAGGGUCGAGUUGCCGAAUUUCUUAGGAAUAAGAGCGCUACUCAAUUCUUCUUCAUCAAUGCUACCACCAUUCCUCAAAGAUUGAUCCUCUACGUCAGGGACUGAGGCAACUGUUGAGGAAUUCUUUUUCUUACUGCCAAACCAACCGGUGGCCUCUUCUUGAACUCGGGGAGGAUCAAAGCCAUAGAGUGCAGUUCUUCGAAAUAAGCAUCCAGUACCAACAUAAACAGGACCCUGAAUACCAUCGAGAGCUCUCAUAUUGACAUCAAAGAAGACAGUGUUAUGAUUGGCAUACCGAUCUGAUGGGUCGAUUCCUUCAAACCUUUGAGGAAAUUGAACAUAGCUGAUCUUGUCCCCAUCGCGGUCCAUCAUAUAGCACAUACCUUCCCUGAUUGCCUCAGAGUUAUAUAUGUAAUGGUCACAGUCAAGAUUAAGUAUGAAAGGACCAUUAGACAUUACGGCUGAAGCUCGAACCAAGGCAUUCAUGGCCCCCGCUUUCUUAUUGUGAUCAUAGCCAGGUCUUUUUUCACGAGAAACAUAGACUAGCAUAGGAAGACGAAUAUCAACUUCGGUUAAAUUCAUGCCAUUUGAAUCUGAUUCUGGGCCGGUUAGUGGCUCGUCACUUGGAGGUUUCAACAUCACCUGCAUUUGAAAGAGGUUGCGUUAUUAGCAUGUUUGAUGGUUAUAUCAAAAAACGAUAAAAUUACAAUUUGAUGUGUCACAACAAGUAUAAUAUGAACAUCAUAAACUAAUUUCCUGUAUGAGUUUUGACCACUGAGAACCUGAAUCUUAGCAUGAAAACACUGCCGUAAAUACUAAAAAUUAUAAUAACAAUAUGUAAACACUUUUAUAAUGAAGAUUAAGACAGAAUUAGUAAUAUCAGUGGUACUAACUGAAUGUAUGAUCCAGAGGAAAAGGAGCUGGUAUCAGAUUCCCUAGGAUGUUCAUGCAUCAUGCCUCUAUCUUUUGGAGAUUGUCCUACUGUAUAAAAGAAUUAUCUACUGCUAUUUUGAAUAAUGCAAUCUUACUAUCUUUACUAAGCUUAUAUAUUACCAAUGAUAGACUAUAAAUUUUGACAUGCAAGUUAAUGUGAUCCAAAAUUUAAAAUGUAUGUGUGGUUGAAGGCAAAUGAAAGAAAAACUAUGCGUUUCGACUCAGGAUCUAAAUGGCGACCUGUGACUUCUCUGCAUGAAGUCUGACAUUCUUACUAAUAGAGUUGUUGUCAUUUUAAUGUCAAUAAUACUUUUCUAAUAGUAAAAUAAUAGCCUCGUUUCAUCCUCUAUCAAAGAAUCAAAUAACUAAAUAACUGAUAAGUUUACCCUCUAUCAUAAAAACCGACAAUUACCUGUAUGAUACUGGAAUGAUCACCCCGAGAAUGCUCUGGUGCAGGAGUUGUCCAAGUCCCAGGCCAGUGAGUACCAUCGGUCAUACAUGUAGCUUUAGAAAUUUUCAAAUUCUCCAUCGGUUCAUCAUUUGCAGCCUCUCUCCAUAGCCUCAUAGCUUUGAUCUCCUCUCUAACAUUAUAAGCAUCAGCGCGCCUCCGGAUUGAAUCAGGAAGGCCAUUAAUCCGAACCUUGAAUUCCUCAUACUCGCGCUUCACCUUCCUGCGGUCCCUAACAAAGUCCGAACGUACUUUGUUCCUGUAGGGAUCUCUCUUCAAACUAAAGUAAGAUUCCGGGUUCCUUGGUUCAAUGUCGUGCUUCCGACAAAAAGGAACCCACAACUCCGCAAAACUUGCUGCCUCGGCCAUGGCCUCAAAAGUUAGAAGUGAACCGCCGUCGUCAGAGACAUAACAUGCGAGUUUAUCAACAGGGUAAUCAACUGCUAGAAUUGAAAGAAUGGUAUUUGCGGUAACAAGGGGUGGCUCUUUUUCUGGAUCGGCAGUUGACACAAACAUAUCAAUUCCCGGGAGAUCAGAUUUCCCUGUUGGAUUUGCUGGACUAGGAGUUUCGAACUUCUCUUUCAAAACGUCGAGAUCAGCAACACGAUUUAUCGGAAAGAGCUUAGGGAGCUGGUCAAGAAGCCAGGAGAAUGCAAACCAGAUUUCACAAACUACGGACAUGCCCCACAGCCACAUUGCAUCGUCAUUCGGGUUUACUACCCUCCAGUGAAGGAAGAGAACCAGAAUCACCAUCCGAGCUAAUAUUAUGAGCCUGAAAGAUAAAACGACAAAAUGAUAACUAACUUUAGAUUCAUUAUUAAGUUUUUAAAUCAAUUUCCUGUAAAAAAAAUAAAAUAAAAUUGUCCCUUUGUUCAUAAAAAGUUGUUCUUUGACAGACUUACUUACUAACACCUCAAAAUAUAAAACCAAAUUCAAAUUGAAUAUCAGAUGUUAGAGUCUCCGACUAGAUUAAAAACAUCAUCAUAUAAAAAUAUUUCAUAGACACAUCAAUAAGAAAAUGGGAUGCAAAAAAAUUUGUCCGCACAACCAGGGGUGAUAAAAGAAGCUAAGUGGAAAAAGUAAUCAUACCGAUAAGGACUCAGAAUUGCAGCACGAAUAUUCAGUUUCCGGGUCAACGGCCUCCACGGCUUUUCUUUGAAAGCAUUAGGGUCACCCCCCAUCCAAUCAGAACCAGAACUAGAACUAGCACCAUUCACCGGAUCUUUAGGCCACAUAGCGUUUCCAUAUCCAUAAGUCCCUUUAGUCUCAGACAACCAUUGAGCAUGAUCAAAUUCAUUAGUUUGGCUCCUCAUCAAAUUCCCCGAUUUCAUCAUCGACAACCUCCUCUCCAUCUUCGACGCACCAGGUGGCAAAGGUAGUGAUUGUCGAUUAACCGCAGCAGCAGCCUCUUCCAUUGCUUGCUCUUUGUAAGCCUCGUUACAUCCAGGGCAAACCCCUUCACCAUUCCUCAAAGUAUCCUUAUAACAAUUCCUACAAAUCUUGAAAUCACACUCACAAGGAAGUAUUUCCAAACCUCUUUCAUCAGUCAUGACCUUUCCAUCACACCCCGACAUCUCACACGCCGACCCUUUAGUCCCGGCCAUCUGAGGAUGACUUGAUUCGGACUCAAUCACCUUAUCCUUGAACUGAGCUCUAGUAGCCUGAUUAAAACCGCCUGUAAACAUAGAACUCGACGCAUAUUGAUCCUCCACUCUCCUAGAGGUUGAUCUCUCAAGAGUAAUAUCCUUCGCCGACAUAGGUUGGUUAUCAGGUGUUAUAGGAACUUGCACUGUGUAUGUAGCAAGACUCUCAGUUUCUUGAUCCAUAUCAUUGCUCAAUUGAGAAAUCCUCACCAAAGAACCCCCUUUUUUCAAAUAUGGUCUAGAACCCAUGAUGAUGAUUAUUGAUGAAUUAGAUUACAAAACCUGUAAUUUCAUCAUCAAAAACACACAACACACACUACUUAAUCAGCAAUAGAAUUUGUAUAUAUAUAAUAAAAGGAUAAAGGCUUAAUCUUUAAGAAUUGUUCAACAACAACUAAAUAAAAAAGACAGCAAAUUAUUUCAAAGACACGGUAUAAGAAAAAAAAACCAAAUCAAACAUAAGUGUAUGUCAAGUAGUGCAAUGAUAAAGAAUGUUUGAUUAAAAUUUCUUACCUAAUCAAAGACAACCGAGCAAAUGGAUUGAAGAUUGUCCUAAUGGCAAAUCAAACGCGUGUCUGACACUGUCAACUGAAAACAAGACUGAGUCCAAAGUACAGAUCAAGAUUUUUUCAAAAACUAAUAAACAAAAACCAAACUUUGUUUAAUAGUUCCAAUUCCAACAACAAACACUAACACAGAACAGAACAGAACAGAACAGAACUACAAAUUCUCAUGCAUUCAUGAUACUAAACAAAAAAUAAGGCCGGCCCAGAAACGUUAAACAGUGUUUAAGGUUCAAAGUUUCAAUCUUGUAUAUAUGAAUGUUGUUUGGUUUGUUUGGUUUUUUGAACAAAAUUGAUACCACCUUGGGAAAAAAAAUCAGGGGAAUGGCACAACAAUGUAGAAAGUGUGGUGAUGAUAAAAGUAGGAGAAAAUGAAGAAAGAGGAAAGUUUGGUAGAGUGUAAAAUAGAGUAACGUUUUUAUGCAAGAUUUUGUUCUUUUUUGAAGAGGAUUAUUCGGAAAGUACGAAGUGUGUUUUGAAACAAAAUGGAUUGUGUUUUGACGACGCGGCGAGCGAUGUUUUUGGGGUUGGCAACUUUACAUGUUCAUUCUCCAGCUGGCAAUGGCAUGGCUCCUUUCAUUUUUCUUUUUCUUAAAAGGUUUUUAUUACAUAUGAUUUUAUUUUUUAUUUUAUUUUUUUGAAAAAUAAAAUAUGGUUGAAACUUAAAAUAUCACACUUUCUUUAUGUAUCUUUGACUGAAUUAAUUUUAAUUCUGAUUCUGUUAUAAAUUAAAAAAAUUACUGGUUGUGACUGUAAAUGGAAAAUUUUGAUUGGGUAUUUAUGAAGGGAAGCAAUUAAGAAUCAAAAUUCUUUAUAAAAAUUUUUUGGGGAAUUCUUUAAAUUUUCUGUUUUCUUUUACAAAAUUAAAUUUAAAUUUGUUGUUAUAUACAAAAGUUUAGAAUAAUUAUAUAUAUAUAUAUAUAUAUAUAUAUAUAUAUAAUAUACAUAAAAGAAUUAUAUGUUUUCUUUAUCUUUCAAUUAUACCUUUUAUUUAAACUAUUAAUUACAACUUUAUAUUUUGUAUAAUAUUAUUUAAAUAUUUAAUUAAAAAAUCAAUUAAACCUCAUUAUAAUUUUAAAAAAAUUAUUAUAGUAGAAACAAUAUAAGUUAAAUCUUUAUUUGAUUGUCCUCGUGAACUUAGCUCAGUUGAUAUAGACAAAAUCUAAUAUAUGCAAGAUCAGGGUUCGAAUCCCGACAACUACCAAAAAAAAAAUAUUUGAUUUCCAAAAUAUUUAUAAUCAAAUACAUAAAAUAAGUAUACACUUUUUUUGUUGACAAAAGAAAAAAAGUAUGCACUUAUAUGCAGUGAACUUACGCAUCUUAAUGCUAGUAAAAUAGAAAGUAGAUAUGCAGCUUCAUUUUUAUUAAAGUAAAAUAAGCUUCAUUCAAAAUUCACAUUUUGAGUGGAAAUUAUCAUUAGUUGAGAUAUUUCUCAUUCACGUUUUCAGAUCGACACUAAGAGAGUUAAACACACACUAAUAAUACACAUUAAAUUCUUCUUUCUAAAAAAAUACACCUUAAAUUCUUAGAAGUCAAUGUAACAAAAACAAACUAAAAUUUUAAUGGUUUUUGUUAACGAGUGCCUUCGAGGCACUUUUAAGGAUUCCAAAUUUAAAAAAUAUUGUUUAAAAAGUCAAAUAUUACAAAUUUCAAUGCUUUAAUUGCACAUAUUUUCAUAAAAAUUUACUAUUAAUUGUCCUUAAAGAGUGUCUGGAGGCACCCGUUAACAUUUCCCAAAUUUUAAUACUAACAACUAAACUAAUUUUACACACAUACGAUUGAUGAUCAAGAAUAAUGCAUGAUUUAUCAUUUUCAAUCGCAUCCGUCUACAAAAUGGAAUUGAUUGUGGUCAAUGAGAUGAUCAAUUCAAACAGAUGUUGACAACUCGUUUUUCAAGCUAAAAGGGUGUUGAUUUUGGUGAUAACCUUUAUAAGCCUCAUACUAAAAAAAAACAUCAAGGUUGUCACAAUGGAUUUCAAGGGGGGCUUGGAAGUCCAGUUGACACUUGUGGUUGCAACCAUUUGAGUCAAAUUUAGAGGCGGUAGAUGACGUGGAGACAAACAAUCGGGGAAUUAUUUACUACGACACAACAUUGCUGAGAUAAAACACUAUUAAAAUGAGUUAUACAUGGAGUAACAAAAUGAUUGAUGUAGUCGAAGUAUGUUAGAUUUACAACUAAAAUGAAUAUUUAGUUUGUACGACCUAACUUAACUGGUAUUGUCGGCAAUGUUAGACUCAAUAUCUUCACUUGAGUUCGAACCUAAGACUUUUCAAAUGUGUGUGAGUUCAGUGGUAAAAAGAUAUUUAUAAAUGCACUACUUAGUGAGAAGUCUCUGAUUUUUUUGGUCAAGAGAGAAUUCUUUGCUUUGAUCAUUAUAUAAUAAAAAUAAUUUUAAUAUUUAUACCUAUAAUUUUAAUCUAAAUCAAAAUAAUUUCAAUUAAAAACAAAAUUUAAUAAUAAUAAUGAAAUUAACAUAUACAAAAGAAAUAUAUUCCAAAAUCUAUAUAACAAGAAUCUAAAUUUAAUUAUAGAGUAGAAUAAUUAUUGAUCAGACUUUCGUACCUAUUAAUCGAACUUCAAAUUACCACUAUUUCUUUCUCCAAAAACCGGAUGGUACUAUAACACUUUUUUUAUUUUUUUUCUAAUGAGUCAAAUGUAAAAACUUUUUUAUUGAAAUUUGUGAAUUUAAUUUAAUUUUUAACUUUUAAUUAAUUGAAUGCACAAAUUUUAAAAAAUAUUUUUAAUUUUAAAUUGCUUAACAUGUGCGGCACAAAUUAACAUGACAGAUCUUUAAUAACACUUUUUUUUUUUUUUAAGGAUAAUAACAACACAUUUUUAUAGAAGUGUGUUCUUCUAUAGAUUACAUUUUGAAUCUAUGGCACUCUCCAUUGCAUCAUUUACACGUCCACAUAGACAAUAUCACAACACAGAAGAUAAAGGAAGGGAAUGUCCGCGGCAUGAACAAUAUUCCCGCAUGUCACAUGAAAGUCACGAAGUGUGUGAAUCUGAAUCCAACGUUAGGGUUCGUGGGCCAGCAUUACGUGGGUCCCAUCUAUACGUAUCCGCGUGGGCCCACCAUCUGCUUGCUUCUGAAAUGAAUGAACCGUGAAAUGUUGCAGUAGCCUCGCCGCAAUUAUUGCUGGAAAGUCAAAAAAAAAACUCACCAAACAACACUUCUCAACCCUCACACUGCUGUCGUUUUCCUAAAUAAUCCGAAAGGAACAAACUUUGUUGCAAUCUUGCAAUCACCUUAAGAAUUGUUUGAUUUGAUUAGUAGCAAUCUAUAAAUCACGGAUAUGGAUAUCGGCUAUGAUACAGACAUGAUAUAAUUAAUAAUUUAAAGAUAAAAAAAUCACAUAAUUCAGUACAAUUACAAGUGUCGGUGUCGUGUUGGUGAAUACGACAUGUGUCCAACAUUAGGACAUAUCUAAUUCGAGUAGUAUCCGUGUUUGCAGUAAUUAGUUUUGUAUAGAAUUUAUGUAUUUGGGGUGAUAAGAUUAAGAGUAAAAAUAUGUUGUUGUCAACUAGAACUAUAGUAGGGUAGAUUCCAUAAAAUAAAAUAAAAUGAAGUGUAGAUGAAUGUUGCCACAUAAUAUAUUUGUCAAUAACUGAUUACUUUACUCCAUAGAUUUCGUUUUUGAUUUAAGUAUAUGAUGUAUCAUUGUUGUCCAUGUGCAUAUCUGUUUCUUUGUUUGCAUAAUGAAACCAAUGACUAAACAAAACCAGGGACAAAUGGACAACGAAACAUUCCAAUUACUACUUUUAUUACAUUGAUUGAUUGAUGAUUGCUUGAAUAAAUGUAGUGGAAUCGCACCAUACCCUACCCACCAUGAUUUGUAUGUAUGGGAGACCUAAACCCCGUUUAAAUGGGUUACCACUUAGCAUCCUUCAAUUUCUUAAGCGUUCAACUUUCAUUUUAUUUUUAGUUUCUAACUAAAAAAAUAGAAAUGAUGAUAACCCUAAAAAGAUUAGAAGUAAAGAAAAUUUCUUAAACACUAAAAAAAGUUUAAAAAGGAUAAAAACUUUAAUAUCAUAGUCUACUCAUCCACGUCGUCUAUCAAAUCAUCUACACAUCAAACAAUUCAAUAAUGUUGCAUAUGAGGAGUAUAUUAGGAGAAACUCAAUUUCCACAAAAUAAAAUAAAAAAUUUGAGUCAAAUGUUUUUUAAUAAACAAUGGCAUUGUUCACUAACCUGGAUUUGAUACGGUUAACAAAUCGAGGGGUCACACAUCAAUAGUUAUUUGAUUAAGAUCAAACAAUUAAGAUUUGAACUCGAUAUAUUUAGAAUUAUACGAUAAAAAUCUACAUUUGUAUCUUUGAAUUAUCAAAAUGAGGUCUGACAAGCGUCAAUGUUUCGACUGCAUGACUACAAGAAAUCAUGACCGUGGAAAUUCAAUCUUCACUGUUCAUCUUAUAAAUAAUUGGAAAUGGAUUGUCUAACUUUGAGUUAAUUUUGGUAACUUUAUGCAUAAAAACUAGAGAGUGUGAUAGAUUUGGAGAGAAAAUCGAGAGAAAAGAUGUGAGAGAAAAUAAAAGAUGAGAAAGGUAUAGAAUCCUAACCCACAUAAUUGUAUCAAGAAUGAGUUAGAUUCGGAUUGCAUGCGGUCAGUAAGAUCCUGAGCGUAUAAUCUCAAUUGGACGAUUCAAAUUUUAAAAUAAAAAGUUUAUAUUAAAAUCUAAGUCGUCAGAUUUAUCUGAUGGUUAUGAUUUGUUGACUGCAGCUUGACUGCACGCCAAGAGACUAAAUUGAAUCCAUUUACGAAUGAGUUUGAUUGGGUGGGGUUUAGUAUGGGAAAGGAGAGUUGUUUCCUACCAUGAGAAAGUUUUUUUGAAUCAUUAAAUUAAAGAGGAGUAUUAAUUUUAUCAUAGACUGCUUACACCAUAUUUUUUUUCCUCCUCUUUUACACUUUUUUUUUUCUUUCUGAGAUCUGCAAUUUUUUCUUUCCUUGAUCUGGAAUUUUUUUUAACGAGCACCCCAUAAUAUCCCUUUGUCUAAAUAUGAGAUCAGCCCCUCCAUAAACAACACUACAAACUUCUUGUCCUUCCUCAACAACUACAUGAUUUUCUCCAAAUUAAUGUUCUCUUUUAAAUCAUAACCCUUACUUCUAACCUUAUUAAUUGCCCAUGUCUCUUCUUCUUGUUUUUUCAGCUCAACUUACGAUCACUGUUUUUUCAAUCAUAUCCAUAAAGAGUUGUCUACUUUAAUUUAAUUCAUUGUUGAUUUAAUUUUUGGUGCUCAAGCCUCGCCCAUGACAAUUAACCAAGCGUUUAUUCUGCUCAAAAACUUCAUCCAGUUAAACAAUUAUUGAUAAAUAAAAAGCAAGAUUAGAGAAAUUAGAUUUUGGACUUUAUAAAAAAUUUCAUUUAUUUAAUUCAAGAAAUAAGGCAGGUGUAGCAAUAUGAAGAAGAACAGACGAGGGAAGGAGAAGAUGGUGGGACUAUGGAGGAAAGAGGAUGGUGGUGGAAGAAAGUGUCUAAAAUAAAUCUUAUGUGGAAAGACUACAAUAAAAAUGUGUUCUACAUUUAAUCUAAUGGUUAAAAAAAAAUUUUCCACGAUAGGAAACAACUUUCCUUUCCCAUGCUAAACCUCACCGUUUGAUUGGGUGAAUAUAUAACAGCCUAAUAACUUAACCACCAGUCCAUCAUCCAAUCCACUUAUGUCAAAAGUCAAAACCAAUUCUAUUUAUAGAUAAUUUGUGUUGUAUUGUCAAUUUGCUAUGCCCAUUGUAUGUUUUAGUACUUAGGAGAAAAAGUCAAUUAGUCUUUUGAGUUUCGGUACUCGUCCUUUAUGAGCUGGAACGAAAUGUUGAACAGAAUAAGCAUGUUGUUUCAUUUCUGUUUUUAUUGAUACAGCCUCCUUAUCAUUCAAUUUGCUCUAACUGUGGUGUGAAAUCGUGGCGUGUAGGCAAUGUUGAACAUUAUUCAUUUCACAUACGUAGCAAAGGAAAAAAAACAAGUAAUUCAUUUUUUAUAUAACUUAAUACUACUCCAUUUUUUUUUUUUAAAUGGAGAGAUCCUUACUUCUCUUAGAUAUAAACAUAUAUAUAAUGAUGUUCUCACAUAUGUUAAAAAAAACUAACCACUCAAAUUCUUCGUCAUGUAGUUUAACUGCGAGAAUCUCAUACAUUAAUUGUGGAUUUUAAUAUGCACUUCAACAUAUCAAAUGUUCAGUUCUUUUUUUUUAAUUUAAUUAACCCUCCAAUUUUCGUGAAGGAAGUCUUGAUAAUUCGGAGCUCGUCUUUUAGAUAAUAUAGUCUGACUAAGAAUUGUUCCACCUAAAAAUUGAAUUUAAGUUUUUCGAACGAUUCGUCCUUUGAUCGAGUUUAUUAACCACUUGAGCUGGUUUGGUUAUUUCUCUUCUGUUAUUGUUAAACCGUGAAUGUACUUAGCAAAUUUAAUGUUCAUAGAUUUUUCGGAAAUACCAUUUUUUAUAUUAAUCUCUAUCUCAAAUUAUACUAGUAUGUCACUAUGUAGGAUAUAUAUUUAGGGACACAACAUUUUUCAAAUGGGACAUAUAUUAGGAGCAAAAGGGCAUUGUUUUAUUACAAUUAGAAAAGAGAAAUGAUAUUUGUACAACCAUUUUUGUACAACUUUCUCUCUCAUGCUCACAUUAUCUUCUUAUUCUCUCUCUUCUUUUUUCUCUCUAUUGGUUUUAACCAAUGAGAAGAGAGGACAACAAGAUUGUCACAAAAGUUGUACCAAAAGAGUUGUUCAAAUAUUAUUACUCAUUAGAAAAAUGGUGUACAUGUAAAUUAACUAGCAAAAAUCAGUUAUCGAUAAUUAAACUGUCUUUGAAGUAUUUUCUUCACUUUAGGGUGGUUGAGAGUAAAUCUAGAGUGUCUAAAGAGCAAUUUUCCAGUCCCUGUACAAAAAUUCUGUCAGCAUUUUUAGUCCCUGAAUAUGAUAAAGGAAAAAGUUAAAAAGACUAAAAAAUGUAAUUUUUUUUAAGGAUUAAAACUGAAAUUUUGGAUAUUUAUAGGGAUCAUUUAUCAAAUUAACCCAUUUAAUUAUUGUGCGUGGUUACUUUGAAACUUUUUCGCACAAAAUUUCAUACCAUUCAUGUCAGUCAAAUAUAAUUGAAUGUACUAUCGGGGUUGGUCUAGCAGAAUAGGCUAGACUCUUGAAACGUAGGAAAUCAAUAUUCAAAUUCUCACUAAGAGAGAUGUUCAUAAUUAAUAUUUGAUACUACCUUUAAUUCAUUUGAUGUUAACAUAUUACAUGUUUUGUGAAAGAAUAUUUUAUAAGAUUUUAAUCAUGUCUACAAAAAGUCAUUCAAAAAUUUAAAAUUUUAAUGAUAAUUAUAUAAAUUUAAGCUUAAUAGAGACUAAAACUUCAUGCUGAAAAAUUCUAUAUGGACUAAAACUUGCAACUUUUUUCGGGUGCAACGUUUUUUAUGCAUUCUAAAAGCAAAAUUUGAUAUAUUUGUAGGGGAAAAAACUUAUUCAACCUAUAAAGAAAUUAAUUGAACGCUUUGAUAAUAAUAAUUAAUAUCCUCUUAAAAAAAUUAAUAUGAAAGAUAAAGUAAGCUAAAAUCAUUUUGGAAUCACAAUCAAACUAUAAUAAUACUGGGAAUGGGUGUCUAACAAUGAAAAAUAACAACACAACAUCAUCUAUGUAUGGAAGAAAUAGCAGACAAUUCUCAUUUACACCUCCCCGGAAAUUGGUAUGGUAUUUGGAGGUUUAAGGUGCCUCCGAAAGUGAAGAAUCUGAUUUGGAUAGUGUGUCGGGGGUGCUUACCAACGCGAGCAAGAUUGCUGGAUAGAGAGGUAAAUUGCUCACAAGUACAAGUUGAGCAGUUUGUAACGAUUUUGUGGAGCUUAUGGAAAAGCCGCAACAUACUCGUAUGGCAAAAUGGUACCGAAACAUGUCAAUCUAUUCUUGAGCGCGGGAGGCAGCUGUUGAUUGUUUGGAAAACAGUGAACAGUAGCAUGCAACAGAGUGGGGUUGUUGGGAAUGGAGUUGGUACACAUAUACCUGAACAUAUGUUAGCUGUCAGAGAGGGUACCAUGCAGCCAGUACAGCCCCCAGCGAAAAAAACCAGCGUUAGGAAGGCUGAAGUCUAAUGUAGAUGCGUAGUUUUCGGAUGCAUUAAUUGUGUUGGUUAUGGCAUGUGUAUUCGGGAUGAUACCUGGAACUUUGUUAUGGCUAAAAUGAUGUGGUCGAAUCCGGUGUGCUCGUCGGAUAUUGGCUAUUCAUUGGGUGCGCAAUCUACAACUUACAAAUGUGGACUUUGAAUUAGAUGCAAAGAAGGUUGUAGAUUAUUAUAAUAGAGGAAGCAAUGACAUCUCCGAGUUUGGAGCAAUUAUCAAUGAGUGUAGGAGGAAACAGAGAGCUUUUGAGGAAAAAGAGAGACCAUACAACAAUCACCUAAAGUCCUUAUCUUGAUGGGCUUGGUCCGGCCUUGUAUAGAAAAGCACAUGAGUUUAGCCUAAUGGCCAAAUAUAUGAAGGUUAAACUUUGCAAAGUAGUGUUGUUUAUAACCUUGUAGAGCAACCUAGAAAUCAAGGAGAAAAUAAUUUAUUGAUGCUAAGAGCUACUAACAUGUUCUGUUGUUUAUGAGAAAAGAGAAUAACAGAACCUUAAUACAUUUCCAGGCAUGCUGAAAAACAAGGACUUGGUUGAGUGUUGAGAUAUUUUCCUCAUUAGGAUCAAUGGUUUACACAUUUUGUGCAACAUAAUAGAGAAACAUGAAGAAAAAGGAGAAUGGCAAAAUCUUCAAAAGGCUACAGAAUGGAAGAUACAAACAAUUCAACUACUUUGAAAGUUAAUUUACACACCAAUGUUUAUGAUUAUGAGUAAAAAAAUCCAAUAGAACUUCAGAAACUCUAAAUAACCCAAAAAUAUAUAGAAGAUAUAUGAUUCCAUCACCUAUAUCACCCCCCCUACAAUUGCCAUCCACUACUUCCUCCUCUCUGUAACACCAUUUCACAAUAUUAAAUGGUGUUUUAGCAAAGACUUUCCAUGCAUCUAUACAUUCCAUGUUAUAACCAUUAGCCUCUUUGUUUUCCAUUUCUUCCACUGUGUUUUCCCAUAAAACAUUGCCAACAGAAACAACUCAUGCAACAACUUGGUCUUGAACAUUUAGGGUAGCAACAAGGCAAUGAACAUUUUGGACAACAACAACCAGGCAUUGAGCAUUUUGUGCAGCAUGUUGAUCCGAAACAAUCUGUGAACUUCGGUAAGCGGCAACACUUGAUGCAGCUAGGUUUCCAGCAACAAUCAGGACAAUUGAUAGACAGGGAAAAAUUUAUGCAGCUGCAGCAGCUAGAGCAUUUAGGUAACUUGCAUUUGCAGCUGCAACAACACUUCAUACUAGGGCAUGUACAUGUGGAGCAACAUUUCGACUUUGAUUUUGAUUCCAGACUUUGUCGGAUCUUUUUGAGGCGCUUUUCAGUUGUCAUCUUCUCCAUUUCUUGGAUGAAUUUGCAUAGAUGGCGUAUGUAAUCAGGGUAAAGCUCUAAGUUGCAGUGACCGCCUCCUUUGAUCCAUAAGGGUUCAUAUGACUCCCUUGCCAUUUUCCAUAGUCGGUUGCCAUGUAACCAAUUGACCACAUCAUCUUCUGUACCCUGCAAAAUAAUUUAGCAUGUCCAUCAUAACAUUUUUGUUCUCGUUAAAUUUUCAGUUUUGAUCUAUUUUUCUGUUUUAAACAUGCUACAAUUUUAGGUGCACAAUAUGUAUUUUAUGCAGAUGAUAUGAUUUAAUUGCAGAGUUGAAUGAAGAAACAAAAUUUCCUCAAUGUAUUUAUCAUAUAAACUGGUGAGGUGACAAAAAAAAAUGUCAACUAUAGGAUGCAAUUAAAGUGGAUGAAAUGAAGUAAUGUUCACAUGUGAUCUGCAAUAGAAAGUACACCUUCCAGACCCAUUUGAAAGCAAUUUGCACACUUAAUUAAGGAUGGUAGUCACACUAAAAAAUUAAAGUGCAUUGAAUUUUCUUAAUUUAAUAAAACAAAGGAUAUAAAUUUACUACAGCAGGACCAGCAAUAGUCACUCUAAAACUAUUCCAACACUCACUCUCUUAAUGUGUAAAAUACAUGUGGAACCCAACACUAUAUGUGGGGUCUAGUUCCAAAAUGGUGAGAUCCAUGUGCAUUUUAUCCAAUAAAAUAGUAAGAAUGGGAAAGAGAGGGUUAGAGUGAGUAUUGCUAGCACUUCUCACAUUUACUAACCUACCUCUAAUUAUGAUGGUGAUAUCUUCAAAACAUUAAUGGAUCCGUUUAAGGUAUUUUUGGAAUUACAACAUUAGAUGUGGAUAUAUUAGUUGACAUUCGGUUAUAUUCGAGUCCAGCAAACUCAAGCUAUUUUUUGCUUAUAAUUGAGUCUAGACAAGUAUCACACAAGCUUAAAACAACAUUUUACUGCACAAACACCGGAUCGACAAUGUUGUACAGAAGUAAAUGUACGCAAGCAGAAAGGAGAGUUAAUCAAAUGGAGGAAAAUACAUAUGUUAGAGGUGGUAGACCUUAAAAUCUACAGGCCAUCGACCAAUAGAGAUUUAGAGGUAAAUAAUCUAUCUAUAAAUCUAACACCAUUGGAUUUUAUGGCAUUGGUUGAUCUAUGUAGCCAACAUCACUUAAUGGAAAAUUGUUUCAUUUUUAUUGUUGUGCGCGACUAGAGAAAGAACACAAGGCCUAGCUACCAUGAAAUUCAAACAGGAUGGUGGAAAGUGUGCUUUAUCCAUGUAUAGUAUAAACUCCAAAACUAGAGAAUCAAUCAUUAUGCACAAUAAUUGCUAUGUCUACUACUUGCGUCAAAAGAAAUAAAUACGAAGAGGAAAAGAAGUAUGAUUGCAUUGCAUCAUUUACUUACAUGUAUUACAAGGACAGGACACUUGACCUUCUUUAUUUUGUUGAUGUUCUGCAUGGUUGGAAAAGGGAAAAAACAAUUAGAUCAUAUGAGAUGAUGGAACAAAAUAUUAUACUCAUUUUAUAUCUUCUAAGUAUACAAAACUAGACAUCUUAAUCCGAAACUCUUAUAAUUUAAGUUGCUGGCCAUUAAUAAAUGAAAGACACAUUUUUCUUUUUAUCUAAAGAUUCUGAACCAAAAUAUAUAAUUUACACAUUUGCAUUUUAUAGGUUAACAGCACGAAAUUCAAUCGAAAUUAUUUUCAAUGAGCUGUAAAUUAAGUUUUAGUUAAUUUAAAAUCCAAAUAACGGCAUCUUAAAAAAUGAGUCUUCAUCAACGUCACGAAAAAAUUCUAUGAAGAGGUCAAGUAUAAUUUUAUUAAAUAGUUUGAUUCUCCUAUUACCUUAUAAAUGUCAAAGCAAAAAGAGAACUUCACAUGACAGAGAACUCGAAGACCAGAAAGAAUGCCGCUGUGUAGAACCACGCCUCUCAGCCUCGGCAACUUAGCUGCCAAAUGCAAUGUUGGUCCACUUCCAACUGAUUGCCCGUAUAAGAUUACGUCUUCCUGGCCAACUCCAUAUUUGGUUUCAAGGCAUUCAUAUAUCGCCUCUAUGUCAGCAUAUGUGCUGGAUUCACUAGGCUGCAUAAUUUGAAAGUAUUAGCAUUACUAUCUAUUUGUUAAUGAAUUUAAUUUCAACAAAACAGAAUUGUGCUUUGUGUGUAUGUGUGUGCGCGUGCAAUCCAUGGUUGCAACAGAACUAACUAUAGUUGUAUUUGCCAAAAAAUAGCCUACCUUGCCAGUAGAGGCACCAUAUCCAGAAUAGUCAUACCUGUGGGGGGGAAAAACGUUAAAAAACACAUCAACUUUUCAGCUUUAGUCUAGAAAUGCUGGCAAUUCAAAUGAUUGAAAAACAAAAAAAUUAUUUUUUUCAAAGACUAUUUAUAUUAAUUAAUCACAUUGAUGUUCAAAAUUGAUUCAAUCAAGUCCUUAUUAUGUGCUUAAUUGAAUCAAAUUUAUAGACUGUCAAGAGUCAAUUAGAUUGAUGUAAAUCAAACCAUUUAUGGACCAAUGUACAUAUUCACUUUUUAAGUAAAAGCUCAAGAUCUAAUAACCAAUAGCAUAUUCCAAUGAAACUUCUAAAGCAAAUGUGCACUAUAAAUUUAUAGAAAAGCUAAAUAGGGAACUUCAAAUCAAUAAUAAUGGCAAAAUAUACUAUUAUAUGAUAGAGAGAUAAUGAAAGAUUACAAUAAUUCAAAGAUGCAAAAUGAGAAAAUGUUUAGCGUGUGUAUGGUUUCGCUGAGACAAAUUAAUUUCCAAUGAAUUGAUUCUGUAAAUUUAUUAUGCCUAAUAGUAAAUCGAAUGUAAGCGGCUUAUGUUUUGAUACAUUCAUGUAAAAGUGGGUUGAAAAAUAAAUUUGAGGCUAAAAAGUUAUAAAUCAUUUGUAGAAACAAAAGCUGCAAAUUCUAGCUUCACGUUAGAGUCAAUUCCGUAAGGCAAAGACAAUUCUACUCGAGAACAUCCAAACAUGUCAAAAUCAAUUAUACUUACAUCUCCAUAAUCAAUUUUGCCUCCUCCAAAAACUGGAACCAAACAUACAUUUAUCAUUUUCUUUAAUUCUAAUUCUUUAAAAGGAAAAUAAUGUUGGUAGUAGGGAUAAGAAAAUUAAAAACUUUCAAAGAAAACCAAGGGCUCCAUCCCCAUAAAAACACCAAAAAACUCUAUGCUAUGUCCACAUCCAUGUAGGGAUAAAAACUGGAAAACUUUAAGCUGAUAAGAAAGAAAUUAAGAAAGUAAAACAAAGGACAAAGAAAGUUCAGAAAAAAUUGCUACAAACUACCAAGAAGAAAAAGUUAGGCCAAUAGAAUCUAAACAAAGGUAAAAUCUUUAUCAAUGUUUCAGAAUCCAUAAAUACAUGCUGCUUUUAUUUUCCCUUUCCUUUUCCUUUUCACUUUAACUUUUUCAUUUUUUGUUUGUUUGUUUAGGGAAGACACUCUCUGGUGCCAAAAGCCUUAACUUCAUCUACUUUCUACUUGUUAUUAUUAUUGCAUUGAAAAGAAACAGUAAAGAAAAGACAUUUACAUUGUCAUUGUCAUUUCUUGGAUGUUUGGUAUCACCAUGGUUACUCGAAAACACGGUGGCCCAAUGUGAUUUUGCAAAAUCAAUGCGAGUCACCGUGAUUUCGACAAAUUAACCUGAUACCAAACAUGCACAUCACAUUACACACAUGUUCACAUUGACCACCAGAUCUAAAACACAUACUCACACAUGUGGAUAACUUAUAAACAAAUAAAAACAUAAACCAAUGCAUAGAUUAACAUAAUAGUUUCAGAUCUAGUACACUUAACAAAACCCACUAAGACCAAAUAAACUAUAUUUUUGUUACCUAAUAAGAAAGAGAAAGAGUAAAACACAUCAAGAUAAUACAAAACAAGGGUCAGUGGUUAACGUGAUGUCUUUUGAAUAGAGUGAAAAUUGUGAACAGACAAAAAAGACAAACACAUCAAACACACAAAACAAAAACAUAACAUAAACAUAAACAUGAACAUGAACAAACUAAGACAAAUUCAUGUUUUUUUUUCAUGAUUAAUUUGAAAAAUUAUAAGAAAAAAGCACUAACCCCAUGAGAUUAACUCUGAGAUUAACCUUAAGUUGAACAAAGAGAUCAUAAAGUUGACCUAAAUCAGCAGCAUUGCCAUGAGAAUAAAGCAAAGUUAAUCUUGCAUAAGGGUUCUUAAGAUAAAAAGCAACUAUCUUAUUUCCAUGUUUUGUAUCAACAAGAAGAACAUCCAAUGAGUUAUCAUCAGGAUGAGGAAUCGGAGACGCGGUGGAAACCACCGUGAGUUUGCCGUCAUCAUUCUUCUUCAGCUGAUACGUUGGUGGUGAAGGUGGAAAAAAUGCAAAUUUUGAAGCUAAAGAAGACACCAUGCAACCCAUUCACCAACCAACACAAAACAAACUCAUUUGUUGAUUAUAAAGACUUAGAGAAAAUUUCAAAAUGGCCCUUUUGAACCUUAUGAUAUAAUAAUUUGUGGGUAGGCUUCAAAAUUUGAACUUUUUUUGUUGGUUUGUGAUGAGAGGUGGUGGAGUUGCAGGGUACAGUGAUGAUGAGAAUAGGAUUUUUUUUUUUUUUUUUUUGGUUUAGCCCCACUUGAAAUUUGCAGAGAUUUUCAGAGAGAGAGAGUGAGGUGUUAAUGUUGCAGCAGAAACUAGUUAUGGAAGUAUGAAAGUGUAGUACAGUGAGAAGAUGUGGAGUGUAGUGAUGUCAAGAGAAUAGAGAGAGUGAAAUUGAAGCUUUCAAAGGGAAGGACAAAGGUUUUUCAUUUUUAAUUUGAUAUAUCAAAAAUAUAUAUUUUUAUAGUAAAAAAGUUUAGAUGAGUUGGAUUUCGUAAAUUCACUAGAUCAGAGAGCAUACCUCGUGAUUCAUGUAACGUUAACAAAUAGAUUUACAAUUUUAAAAAAAAAAUUAUACUUAAAAGUUUAUAGAUGAAUCAACUUUUUAUCAACUGAGUCAAUAUUUAGUUAAUAUGAAAUUUUUUGAUUUUAUAUUUAUUUGCAUGACUUCAUAGUUGUCAGCUACACAGAGAAACAGGUCUUGUUGUAUUGCUGCUAACUGACAAUUUUUAUUGGAAAAUGAAUGAUUCUUUCCUAAGAGGUGGUUUAUUGAAAAUAAGAUUUAAUUUCACUUACAACUAUUGCAUGUGUUCACAUCUAGUAGUUGACAAUAUUUGUUGAAUAAAAAUUAUCUUUAGUCGAAGCAAUAAGAAAAACAAAAAUUAUAAAUAUUCAAUCUCAAAUCUAUGCAAAUUAAGUUGCUUGUAUAUCCAAUGAUUGGAUCUCAGUCAGUGCAACAAAGCUAAGGUUGUGGAGGAGGUUUGAUCUCUACAUAGCACAUUGGAUUAUUAUGGUAGUUUUCUAAAAGAAAUAUAGUAUCCUCACACAUACAUCUUGUUAAAAAAAUAGGAUCUUCAUACAUACAUCUUGUUUAGAAUUAAUAAAAGUGUUUACAUUUGAUUGAUAAACAAAAAUUGAUUAAAAAAAUUAGGUUAUUGUCAUUGGUCGAGUUAAAAAAAAAAUAGUUGUCUAGCAAAAACUUGGUAAUGUAGUGAUUAGAGAUUAGGGAUGAGUGUCUUCAUGUUUGAAAUGUGUGCUUCUUUGUUUGACCAUGUCACCAUAUUGUGUUGUUAACAUUGCACAAAAGGAGCUAUUUAGGGACUCAUUUGUACAACUUAAAUAUAGGGGCAUGUAAUUAUACAUUUUUAAUACUCAAAAAACUAAAAGUACAAUUACACAUCUUACUUUGAAGGAUAAAGAAAUAAAUUUUAGCCAUAGGUUAAUAUCUAAAAAAUAUUCACAAUUUGCUAAAAAAAAUAUAUCAACAAUUUUAUUUUAUUUUUUUAACAUGUAAAACUAAUUCAUCAAAUUGAAUAGGAUCACAAUGAACAACUUAAUUGUCUCUCAAGAAUUUUCAUGUUGUCCAUCCACAUGACUGAAUUCAAAUCCAAGAAAUAUCUAAUUAAAUUCGUAGAGAUCUAAAUCAUUUCAUCAAAAUGUUAUUGGGUCACAAUUUGUCAUAUAUGUGUAUGUCGUAUUAAUAAUCAAUUUUAAUAGUUGAAAUUUUAUUAAUUUUUAGUUUUCUUUUAAAUAACCCGCGCAAAUAUUAUUGUUAUGAUCAUAGUAAUUAUUUCAGUAUUUUUUUUUUAGAAAAGAAAUUAUUAUAUUAAUAAUAUUAUUAGAGUCAUGUUAACUUAUGUCCUAAUGACACGUGUUAAAGAACUCAAAAAGAGUAACUUUGCAUUGAAAAACAUAAUAUUUUAAUUUUUAAAGAGUUGACUAUACGAAUUUUAAUAUGUAUAUUUCUAUAAUGAGUUUGUUAACGUGUGUUCUUGAAGGCACAAAUUAACAUUUGCCAUAUUAUUAUUAUUGUUAUUAUAUUAAUAUUAAAAAUUAGUGUUGCUAUUGUAUUUUCUGAUCACUUUAACUUGCAAGUGUGAUUUCAUGCGUGUGCAACUUGAUCGAUCUGGCUCUACUAGUAGUAAAGUAACUAAACUUUUAUCGAAUAAUGCCAAAUUAUAUAGUAACGUUUCUUUGAAACUUUAAGAUAGCGUGCUGUAGUGUUCAAAGUUUUGAUAAGGAGUCAUUUCAUAAUUUGCAUUGGCAUGAGAACCUUACACAGUAAAAGAUUUUUAAGGUAUAGUAGUACUUGUUAAUUUCAUAUAUGAAUCUUCAUCUCUAAGAUGUCCUUAAUGUCAAUUUUGAUGGCUUUGUAUGAUUAAUUAUCGAUAUGAUCACAAACAUAAUCAUGCUUUAGGGAAUAAUUCUUGAUCAAAAGGAAAAAAAGUUUGCGGAUAAUGCGUUUGCAAGGGAGAUAAAGUAAUAUUUUCAUCAUUAAUAAAGCCAAAAUUGUCCUCCAGGUGGUGAUAAUUAGGUGAAAAAAAACUACUUGGAGUUUCUAUUGCCUUAAUUUUUGUUUUUUCUCUAUGUAAAGAGGGGGAAAUUGUGAUUGGUAAAAUAAAAGAUCGUGAAAGGAAAUUGAGUGUGACACAACGGACAAUGACUAGAGUUAUUUGUUAAUGCAAAUAGUUAAGGGGGAAAAACAAAAAUAAUAUAUUGAAAGAAACUUUGUUUUAGUAUACAAGAAAACAGUAAUUUUAGAUUUGCAAAAUGAUUUUUUUUAAGGAAAUUUGCAAUUUCUAUAUUAAUUUUCUUGAUAAACCCCCUUAUCAUUUUGCAUAUUAAUAUUAUAAGCAAAUCAUGUACAUAUUAAUGUAUCUUACGCACGAUAACAUCUGAAUGAGAUGAUAAGAAAUAUUUUUUUUAUUUAACUAGAGGGUAUUUCAUUAAAAAAAAACAAAUAUGCUCCUUUUUAUUUUAAACAAAAAUAACUAAUGUUGCUCUUUGAAAUGAAAUUAAGAACAUCUCUAAUAGAGAGAAAAUAAUGAACUCAAAGUUGUUUUCAUAAGUGGUCUUUGUAAUGUCACGCCUCUUAAUCAAUCCAAACAUAUUUAGUUUAAUGGUAAAAAUUUAAGCAAUUUUUUUUGGAACGAACACUUUAUAAUAAUAUUAGUAGCCUUUGGAGAUCUAUCACGAAAAUCAUGCAAGAAUUGGACGAAAAACUCAAUAGCAUCAAUGAGUAUAAUUUUAACCUCCUCUUUCUCGGAACUAAAGAUAAACACCUUAACAUCACCCAUAGAAACGACAUGGAGCUCGUCAAAACCCGCAUCCAAUAUAUGUUGUUGUAACAGUGGUAUACUCUCAAGUCUCAACAUCAAACACUCUUUCGACCAACCAUUUAUGUGCCCAUUCCAUGUCUUUUCUAGCAUAGUUAACCUCCAGACCCUUCCUCCUUGAAUGAGCACUCUCACCAUGUGUCACACCCUCGUCGCUCCUUUCUUCCCCUUUAAACACACAAUCCUCCAUCCUAGUCAUUGUCACUGCGUACGACUGCCUCACCUCCCCAAUGAACCUCUAAAUUGACCCACUAUAUCUCCCUUUCGAACACAUCUGGCUCCCAUCACCUCAUUUUCCACCCUCGCCGUUUUCACUUCUUCAUACCUUUCCACCUUAAGCCGCCCCCCCACCCCCACUCUCACACACACACAACACAAUCUUCCUCUCUAUCGACAACCCCUUCUCCACCUUAUGUUGUCCUUCUUAGCACAUACAAUUUCUAUGACGCCAAGUCCACCAAACAAUAUCAAUGAAGAUGAAUGAGAUCCAUUAGUGUCAACCUUAAGUCCAAUUGUGCUCAGUCAUGUUAGGGUAGAAAUCUGAGUGAGUGAAACCAACAUGCUACCAAAUGUUUCUAGAAUAAAUGCAAUCUUGCAUACAAUAUAGAAAUGUUUCCUUUAAAAAAAAAUAUUAGAGACAUUUGUUUUUUACGAUAAAAUCUUAGAGACUCUUAGGCAUUAUUUUUUAGUGUAAAUUCGGUUUCACAACUCUUGGACACUAACUUUUUUUUUUUUUGUCAGACAACUUAGUGGUUAGAAAUUCACUUUAAAUAAAAAGGGUGGCCGAGGUUUGAAUUUUGACUUCUGCAUAAAAUAUACAAUAUUUCUACUAACCGAAUUAAAUUCAUGGAGACAAUAUUUUUAUGCAUGUUGUACUAUUUUCUUGUGUGACUGAUUUCUCAAUUUAUAUUGCUCUGUUUGUUGACAUUGCUCUAUUUUUUUCACUUGAUUGUCAAAUCAUUUCAUGAAUGCGAUGAGUCAAGAAUUUCUUAAUUUAUUAAAUGAAUGGCGAUACAUCAUUAAGGACAUGUGUAUAUUUUUAUAUACAAUAAUUUUAUUCUUCCUUAAAAAAACAAUAUAUACUUGCGUGUUUAUAAAUUUAGAGAAAUAAUAUUUGACAUUCCCUAAACAAAAAACAACGACAUUAAAACUUCUAUAUCAAAUAUGAUAUUUUUAUUUGUACUUUUGAAACUGUAACUUGUAUAAGAUAAAAAGGUAAGAGAGGAAAGGAUAAAUAUUUUCUUUGGAUUGGUCCAAAAAAGCUAAAAAAUAAAUGCUUAAAUAAAAGAUUAGUUUUUUUUGAAGGAAUAAAUAAAAGAUUAGUUAAUUAGUUAAGAAUAUAAUAUACACCAACUAAAUCACCUUGGUUAAUAAGAAAUUUUAGUAUCAUUCUCUCUUUUACAAAUCCUAGUUGUCACCUCCUUUUCUCUUUAUCUAUCGUAGAUGGAUGAUUUAUGAUCAAUUUUUACCCAAAGUUACUCCUUUGAAUUAUUUUUUCUUCUUUUUCUAAUUGAACAGAUGAUCUUCACAUAUUUUUAGUCUUCUUUCGUUUGCUUAUGUGAUUUCGUCGUCUCCACGACUCUGUUUGUUUUGAUUUUCUGUCUUUGAGCGGGGUGUUUUUGAUUUCUCAUCUUAAUGCGGUGUUUAUUUGAUUUAGUUGAAAGAUUAGUUUUGAGCAAGUGCAUAUCCGAUCAAUGACUUUUGCGUCGUCAACGUUGCAGAUCCGACGACAUGAGUAUUACGAAAACUUGAAUAGGACUAUAUUUGUAGGUUUAGGUACUUUGCACCUUUAUGCUAUUAACGUAGAUGGUAUAAGUUUUGUUCACAAAUUUAUCCUUUUUAUUUUUAACGACUUUGAAUUUGUAUUGUAACAUAUAUCGUUUACUUUUGUAAAAGAAAAAAAAAAAAGGCUUAAGUGCAGUUUUACCCCCCUUAUUUUUAUCGAAUUUGGAUUGUGCCCCACUUUUAUAAAACUCGGAAAUUUACCCCCCUAUUUUCAUUGAUUCUUGAUUUUGCCUCCCCUAUGUUAAAACUCGGACAUUUACCCCCCCCCCCCCCGAUUUUAUGUUUUUCAGGAUUUUGCCCCUUCCUCCUAUUUUAUCCACAUAAUUAAUUAUUUAUAUUAAAUUUUUUAUUUUUAUUUUUUAAUAAAAAAUAAAACCAGAAAAAUACUAAAAUAAAUGAAUAAAAAAUGCAUAAAACUAGUAUGGUCUCUAAAAUAAAAAAACUGGUAUGAAAAUAGAAAAUAUUUAGAGGUGCAAACUAGUUUUUUCAUGUAUUUUUAAUUGAAUUAUUUCUUGUAUUUUCAUUGUUUUUCUAUUUUUUUUGGUUUUUCUUGUUUUCUUUUUAUUUUUUUUUUCCGAAUUAAUAUGUUCUAAUCAUUUCUUUAUUUUUCUAGUAUUUAUUGGUUCUUUAUUUUAGAAUAGGGGGGCAAAAUCCUGAAAAACGUAAAACAGAGGAGUAAAAUUUCGAGUUUUAAAAUAAAGGGGGUAAAAUCCAGAUUCAAUCAAAAUAGAGGGGGUAAAAUUCCAAGUUUUAAAAUAGGGGGCAAAAUCCAAAUUCAAUCAAAAUAAGGUGGUAAAAUUGCAUUUAAGCCGAAAAAAAACCCUAAAAUAUUACUUGUAAGUAAACAGAGACCAUGAGUUUGUUCUCUAGCCCAAAAAAGGUCAAGUAGUCAAACACAUUAUAAAGGAAAGAGUUUUAAAAAAAUAGUUUUUUAUUUAAUAAAAUAAGAUUUUUUGUUCAUUUUUUCCCACGUCAAAAAUCAUAAUUUGUAGCAACUUUCAUUAAUACAUAAAUCACUUUCAACGAACACAAACAUGAUCAUUUAUGGUUUUGCCAAUUAUAAACAUAGAGACCCAAUUACCUGAAAAAAAAGUUGCCUCAUUCAUAAUCAAAUACGGACACAAAAGUUACAAACAAACCAUGUCUCUAACAUAUGUAAUUAAAUCCUUCAAAAAAACACAUAUGUAAUUAAACAAUAACCAAUAAAAUUGUGAUGGCUGACAUAUAGGGGGUACUAUAUAUGAAAAUUUAGUCCAAAAUUGGAAGCAUAGGACAAAAACUGGUUGCUAUGAAUCUAUGAUGUGUGGGACGAAAAUAACUUUGACAGCUACAAUAAUAUGAGCAAGGCAAAGCACGUGUGGCAGUAAGAUCAGUGAGGAAAUAUAGGCACACAAGGUAACAACUCAUCAGCUAGCUAGAUCACUGUGAAAAAUAAGAGAAUCAGAAUAUUCUACCUACGAUUCAUUUUCGAGUUUUCAAAUUUCAGACUUCUGUUUUUUGUGGUGAUCGGGAUUUAAAAUUCAAACCUUAUAUAUAUUAUGUAUUGUCUCUACCAACUGAGCUGAGUUCACGAAGAUCAACUUCUGCCAUAUAUAUACAAGAGGAAAUUAUUUAUGAAUAACCAAAUUGUACAAUCGACAACAUAUUUACAAUUUUUUAACCGAUUUCGAAUUGCAUGCACUAAGAAUGUUAUAUGGUGUUGGAAGGGUUGUCUGGAUUUUGGUUGUAUAUACAACACAUCUUCCCAUCAAGAUGGUCUUGUAACUUCUAUUAAGGUUUGAUAUGGUUAAGAUAUAAGUUGUAAAACUAGCUUAUUAGCUAAUUAUAGUUGAAAUUUAGUUGUUAGCUUAUAAUUAAAAAGUUAAGUAGUGAUAACAAUCAUUGAUGAAUGAAUAAAUAAGUGAUUGAUAUCACAUGAACAUACAUAAUAAAUCAUGAGUGUUUUGAAAUAUCAAUAGUUAUUAUUUCACUCUUACAAUGUUUGGACACUCUAACUAGGGGAUGGGUUUGCCUGCUGUAAUAAACACACACAGUUCCACACUGUAAACAAUCUCAGCCACACAUUUGCAAUCAGACGGUUCAGCUUAACGCUGUUACAAAAUCACUCUAAACCAUCUCAGCCACACAUUACAAUCUGACGGUCCUAAUUCGUUACAGCGUGAAACAGCGUGCUUUUUCUACAGCACCAAAUCCAAACCCCUCUAACUAGAGAUAUUGGAUAGUUCUGUUGUGUAUAUGACACAUUCAUGAUAUUGUUCUAUUUAGUGGAUGGCUAUUUUUCACAAAAUCAAUUUUAAAUAAAGCAACAAAUAUACCAAACUUAAAUCAAUGUAAAUAACUUCCACACAAGUUGCCCCUAAAAAAAAAAAAAGACUUCCACACAAGUUGAUUAAAAACCGACUUAUAUGUGAUAUUAGUGCAACAUUUCUUGGAUGAUGUAGGGUCUUUGGGAAACACCUUCAAUUAUCAUUUGUUAUGGACAAAUCGAUUUUGAUAAGAGCUUAUCAUUUGCAUUCGUAUUUAUAACCAAUCUUUGAUUUGGUUUAUUUACAUAUAUUCUGAUUUGAUUUGUUCCAUUGUACAUAGACAGACAAAGAUUGAUUACUAAUCAAUGGUUUUUGCCCCCUUAGCACAAGGGUCCAUCUUGAUACUAUAUCUGAUCCUUAUAUCAAGAUUUUUUCCACACAUAACAACAAUUUGUGACUCCAUUCCUUUUUUUUUUUUCUUCUCUUGCUCUUGACAAUUUUCACCGUAGAUGUGGCAUGAAAGUGAAGCAUUGAUGGAUAAUGGUGUGUGCAAUUCAAACUCUAUUGAUUUUUUUAGUGGUCGGGAUUUGAACUCCAGACCUUGCAUAUUUUAUGCAUUGUUCCAACUAACUCUCACGAGGACCUAUUGAUUGGUUGCAUGUAGAUAUUUUUAAGGUGAACUCUACUUUGUUUUAUUGGACAUGAAUGAUAGUCAACAUUCAAUCAUUUAAUGUAAUGUUAUUUAUUGUAUAUUUAAUUAUUUUAAAAUGAAUUUUAACUUUGAAUUAAUUUUAUCUUUAGGAAAGAACUUAAUAAAACUUUCGGUACCACAAAUUUUUUAUUUUUGACAAAAGGGUACCACAAAACUUCUCUUUUCUUAAAAUGAUUUAAUUUAUUUAUAUGCAUUAAAAGUGUAAGGCUUAUUAUACCACCAAUCAAUCAUAAUAUUUCGAUCAUUAAUUUUUUUUUUAACUUUCAUCAUAUCAAACUUAAUAGUCAUGCAAAUAAUGGUUUUGUGAUUGUUAACAAUACAAAAAAAAAAAAAAUCCUUAAAAAAAAAAACACAAAAAAUUUACACUUUCGGUGAAACUACUAUACUAUCAUUUUAUUCUUUAUCUUUUUCGAUUAUUUGCUAUAUUCUAGGACACAGGAUCUCACAUAUAUGUAUAUAUUAUACUUGUAAAAUAUGAAAUGAAUUUUUAGCAAGAUAACCAACCUUCUUUGCUUAUUGCAUAGAAAUGUUGGUGUAGUAUAUAUCAUCUGAGAAUUGACUUUACAAAAUGAAUGAGAAUAGAUGAGAUUCAUUCAUGCUACUAAUGGUGAAAAUGAGACAACUCAAUAGCAUCGUCCUUUCCCUUUAGUUUGUACAUCUAAUGGUUAGUGUCCCUACUUGUUUCAACCCCCUAUCACCUAUCAUCAUACUCCAAGUGUAUAGAUGGUUAUAUUUUGAGAUCAAGUUAGUUUUUUUGUAAUAAAAAAAAAAAAAGACCAAGUUUCUUUUUUAAAAAAAUGCGAUUUUUUAUUCUAUUUUAUUAUGGUAUGCGGAUCAACCAGUUUAACAUGUAGGCCAACACAGACCGAACUCAGAUCAACAUUAUCACGAUUCGAUAUAUCUACUGGCAAGCUAGUCUGAUCCGCUUAACGUGCAUGUUUAUGUGAAAAUGGCUAAUAACGUACCUAGCUCCACUACUAAUAGCUAGUUUGGUCCGCUUAACGUGUAUGCUUACGUGGAAAUGACCAAUAGUGUACCUAGCUCUACUACUAAUAAGUGUGGAAUAUGAACUUUUAUCAUAUUUUUCUCAUAUAAAAUGUAAAAUUUGGAUUCUAUAAUCAAUUUAAAAAGUUCAUACUUUUUUUUUUGGUUUCAAAAAGUCCAACAUUUUAUAUCCUAUGGUUCUUUAACCCAUGGGAAAUCAAUUUGAAAUACUAUUGUGAACUGAUGUAAAGAGUCUAGUGAUGGGAAGUUAUUCCUACCCUUUUUGACUGAUUCCAUUUUAUUUUGAUUAGCCACCUUUUCAUAUAGGUUAAUAGUCCAAACACCAAAUCUUAAAGUGACUUAUUUUAAGGAGAUGCCAUUUUUUCUUUCUAAAAGCAUUCGACAAUCGUUGUACUGCAAAUUGAUAGGUUACAGUAAUUCAUUGUUUAUGGGCACAUAAAUUUGCUUAAUUUUGUCUUUUGAUUGAAUAAGUUACCCUUAUACAAGGUACAACAUCUCAUUUUUCCCCAUUCCAUUAUACCUUUUUUAUUCGUUUGAGAUUAACACAAUUGUGUGGGUUUCACAUGUCUUUUUUUCCCCAUUCCUUUAUACUAUAUUCCUAAUUUUCAAAAUAGAUCCUCGCAAUUAUAAGUUCCCCUUGCGAUACACCUACAAAGGAACACUUAUAACUAGAUGAGUAAAAAAUAUGUGCUAAAAUUUAUUUUUAGGGUCCGUUUGUUAUAGCUUUUUUAAAUAUAUUUUGAUAGUGUAAUGUGUUUUUGUUAUAAUUUUUUUAAUAAAGAAAUUUUUAAGGAAAACUUCAAAUGAAAAAUGUUUAAAUAGUUUAUCUUAAAAUAUCAUUCUAAGUAUUUCAUCAUUUGGUUAUAAUUUUUUUUUAUUAUCUUAAAUAGUUUAUCUUCUCAAUUUCUUCAAUCCCUAAUGAAAUAUCUUAUGUGUUUGAAGCCUUUUUAAUUUCUUCAAUAACGAGGAUGGAAGAAGGAAAAUAUGGAAGAAAUUGAAGAGGAUUUGAGUUUAUUCUAAAUUUGGGAAUUAGGGUUCUAAUGUUCUUAUAGAGAUUUCAAUUUUAUUUUUUUUAUUCUAAUUUCUGAAUUUUUUUUAAUGGUUUAUGAUUUAAAAAAUUUGAUUUGUUGACAUGUUAAUGUCAUUUUUUAAGUUGGUACUGCCACAUAUGUGUUUCUUUGCCAUAUCAGCAUUUUUGGAGGGUAAAAUGAGGGUUAGGAUCAAAAUUGCAAGAAACAUGAUAGUAUAGGGACUGUUUUGUUCGAUUUGAAAAGAGCAUGACCAAUUUCGUUAGUUGGUUAAAACCCGAAAAUCAAAAAUAUAAUUAAGUCUUUUAUCUAUAUAUCUGUUGGGUGUGGCAGUAGGUGACCCCUCAGCCUCAUCUUUUGCUUAAAAAAAAAAAAAAUAAUUUAGCCACAUAUGACCAAACACACACACAUAAAUCUAUACUCAAAAUCAAUUUUACCUCUUUCAAAAGUAUUACCAACAAACAUUAAUUUGCUUGUAUUUAAAUAUGAAAAUGCUAGUGGCGGAUCACUAUUUAGGCUCGGGUGGAUCAGAGUCGACCUGACCAGAAAAAUUUAACUUUUUUUAUAGGAAAAAUACUAAAUUAUCUUUAACUUUUAAAUAUAAUUAUCUUGCGGCCCAACCUCCUCUUCAUCUUAAUACAUUUUCAAGUCGCUCGAAACGUUUAGAUAAUUAUUUGGAAUUUUUAAAGUAUGUAAUUUUAUUUUUUUAUAAUCAACUCUAUGUUUAAUGUUUAUUAAAACAUAAAUUAAAAGUGUGUGUGUUUUAGUUUAUUUUUGUAGUCCAACUGAAAUUUCUUUUUGGCUCCACUACAACUAAUAAGUGUCUUUAGGCAUUGUCUAAAACACUAAAAGAGGUAACUUUUGGAUACAAAAUAAUAUAAUUAUUAGUUUAACAAAUAUGUGUUGUAUUUACAAAAUAAAUUUGGCUGAGUCUGGAUAACGAGUUUCUCUGGGGCACUCUUUACAUAUUUUUUUUUGUUGAAUCGACUCUUUAAACAUACUAAAUUAAGUAGUUAUUCUUUAAAAUUGUCAAAGUUUUUAAUUUUCAAUGUACUGAUUACAUAAAUUUUCGUAAAAUUUAUUUAUUUAAAGUCCUUAACGAGUGUUCUGGACAUUAGUUUACUCUUCCCUUUAUAUAUUCUUUAAGCAAUGGACCGGUUAGCACGAUGAGUAAGGACUAACUCUGCUGUGUAUUGGCCACUGUGUUAAUAAGUAAGAUAGGAGUAUAUUAUAGUUUUGUUCGUAUUUCAAUUUUGCUCGUGUCACUGUAUUUGGGUCCUUCUGAAAGGAAAAAAAAAAUUCAUUGGCUCCUCAAAGGAACAUGCACACUCCUCAGAAAGAUUUGGUAACCUUCGUUGGUCAUCGUAAGUAAUAAAAUAUCAAUUUUACCACUACGUGAGAAUGUGACAUUAUUCGUGACCCUCGUGCAUGCAAUCUUAAACUAUUCAUUAUUCAUUUUAGUUUAUCUCAAAAAAAAUAAAAAAUUAUUCAUUUUAGUAUUACUCCAAAUAUUCACAUCAUCCUAAACUUCAUUAUUUAAGCAGUGUCGUAACGCUACCUACUCCCGAAAGAUUCAAUGGGACCAGAUGACAGUCAAAAUUGUUUUCUUAAACAACGCAUUAAUUACUUGAACACGAUGAUUAAAAUAAACAAUGCCAAUAAAUGUUUUUGAAAUAAUUAUUAACAUGACUCAGGAUGAGGAUAGUGAAAAAUACGAAAAUUUGUAGAUAGAGUUUGUAACUCGCAAUCUAAUCAAGAGUCUUGUUUAUCCAUUUAAAAAUGUGUGACAUCGUAACUUGUCACUCUUUCAUCCUAAGACGAUUGAUGAGGACGACAAUAGAAGUACAACACGUAUACAUCCAAAGUUCAGAACAAAUAAUUAUUUGAAUUUGAAGAAAAAUAAUAUAUAUGCAUAUAUAUUUAUUUACCGUGUUAUUUAAAAAAACACAUUGUAUUAAUAAUGAAAAGCAUAACUUUUCUUCUUCAGAAAAUAGAAAAGGACAAAACUUAAAUUCUAAGUCACUUGAUUGAAAAUCUAGUGUACUUACAUUUAUCACUAUCUACCUAGAAAAUGUACUGUUAAUUAACACGAAUAUAAAUGAAAAAAUGUUAUAUUAUUAUAUCAUUGAACAUGUCAUUAUCUAAUUAUGGCCAAUCUUGUUAUGUGCAGAUGUAAUUAAAAAAAAACAAUACAAAAACACAAUAAAACAAUGGGGUGGUACCAUUUCCACGGGACCCUUUCUCGUGUAUCAUAAAGGAAAAUAGAAGCAAAAUAGAAAGAUAUUGGCCUUAUUGAACAUCAUAGGGCUGUAUUGGUUUCAACUAUUUUAGCACAAAUUUGUAGCUGUGGGGUAUUGAUGAUACUACCAUAUACCAUACGUAGAAAAUGACUUUGACUUAAACUUGGCCAAACCUAGAAACAUAAAAUUGACAAGGGAUACAUGCUUUCUUAAAUUGUACUAUCAAGUUGGUUGGUUUGUCAUCUCUAUAUAGAAUGAUUUAGGUAAACUUUGGUCUAAACACACUAAAUUAUAAAAUAAAUGAAAUGCUAACGAGUGUCUUGAGUCACUCUUUAAACAUAAAAGUUUGUGUAUUCAGUGCAUUGAAAAUUGAACUGUUCGACUUGUGUCCUAAAAACACUUGUUAAGAUAUUAUAAUAAUCAUAGAUAUACAUAACUCAAAUGUUGUUUUGACUAUUGUCAAUAAUCCAAAUUUAAAAUUUUAGAAGCACCCUUAAUUACACCAAAUCAUUUUGCAUGAAAUUUUUCUUUAUGUUAUUUUUCUAAGAUAGUUGAAUAUUGAAGGGUACGUUAUGAUAUUAAUUAAAAUAACUUUUGAAAGAACAUAAAAAAUUUGAUGGUAGACAUGUCACGGAUUGAACAAGUAUACACGAAUCUAUAGCAAGAUAACUUAAGGAAACCCUUCACUUUUUCACCAACAUAACCAGGCAGGUCCCCAAAAUUCAAUAAUGAAAGAGCAGCAAAUGUUUGCAUUGGCAGCAUCACUGUAGGGGCAGUAUAGGACAAUUGUCCUUGAAUCGUAUUGGUACAUUAUGGUGGUUCUGGUUCUAUUGACUAGUAGCUCCAUUGAGCAGUAAUAACACAGAUUGAAGGUCAUUCUUAUUUUGAAUAGUUGCCCUUUUACUACUUGUAAGUUGUGUGUGUGUAUAUAUAUAUAUAUUUUUUUUUUUGUAUAUUGAAAACGGUAGAAUAAGGGCUAAAUCACGUUAGGACCCCACAUUAUUUACCAAAAUCCAAUUAUAUAUACUGUGCCAAGGUUUAUGGUCAGAGAAUAGAGAAUUAAAAAAAAAAAAAAAAAUCUUUAGAUAUAUUUAAAGUUAUAUUUAGGUGAUGGUUGCUCAAUAAACACCUUAAGAUUGCUCACUUGGCUGAAAAAAGUCAAUCAGAGUUACAACCCGGCCGGAUUUUCCAUAAAAAAACAGUUGAUCACGAGUUAUGCCACAAUCAAAAGCAAAAUUGAGAUGUCUAUUGAACAACUUUCUGUUUAGAUUGUUAUUUGAGCAGAUAUAAAUAGCCAUACGCUCAUCUUAUAUCAAGCAAUAAGAACUGAAAUUUUGUGAAGACAUGGUUCAAUCUCCAUUCUCCUUGAUGUUAUUCCAGAUUCUCACACUUGGUUAAGAACAGAAAUAGUUCAUGCCUAAAAAAUUGUAUACUUAUUAAACCAAUUUGAAAAUUGUAUCGUACAAACAAGUUUAAAUCUUAAAUUUGGGACUCAAGUUAGGCUCAUGUAUUAGAAAACUGUCUAGUUUGACAUAUUUCCACCCACAUCAAUGCAAAUAAACAUUAACUUGAACAGAAGCAACAAAGUAAGUGCAUCACUUUUAUUAAUUCUGCCAAUGUGAAUCAUCAUCCAAUUGCAUUUGGACCUGCUUAUAAUGUGGAACGUUUGAAUAAUUUGAUAAUGAAAAGGUUCUAAUAUUAACAAUUAUACAUCUAUAAUGAAACAAAUUGAACUCAAAAUUACAAAUGGAAAAUUAGCUAUUAUCUAUUUAGCUAGCUAAAAGAAAUCCUGAUACAAAAAAAAUUGGUAAAAUUAUAUUUGGUCUCUUAUCAGUCAAUGGACUGGAUGUGGUAAGGAACUAGGAGGGACCUGUACAGCAGCUGAUUUUGAACCUUCUGAAACAGAUUACUGAUAAUGGCAAGCACACAGAAAAAUUGAAAAGAAAAUAUUUGACAGGAAAUUUCCAUCAAGCCCUUGGAUGUAGUAAAAGACAGUAAUCUCAAGUGAAUCAGUUGGAUUGUUUUACUGACGCCUUGUAACUUGCAUCUACAAAAGCAAAGAAGAAAUUAGAACCUUCAGCCAUGAAAAAUUCAAGCAAAUAACUGUAGAAAAUGCUAAAAUUGAAGAUUUGCAUUUAAAGCAAUCAUAAAUUGUAGUUCAAUGAAAACAAGCAGCCCAUCUAAUAAUCAAGAUUUGGUUACUCCAUCAAUGAGAAAUGUUUUCAAUCCUAAUCUACAAGAUGCCUCUGUGGUAGUAGAACUCCAUUUUUCUACAUCUAAAGUAAGAAUUGUACCUGAGAAUCAGUGAAAAGUGUAAUCAGAAAGAUUCAAAUCUGAACUACUUCCAUGGCUGCGACAAGGAAACUGCGGGAGUUGAUGCUUCUAAUCCUUUUUUGCCGUGUAUGGCAGACUCCAGCACAUCAUAUUGACUAGUCACAGAAUCAUACAAGGCUUUCGAGUAUGCUUCUUUAGCCUGCACCAUCAGAACCCAUAUUUCAAUUAUCAAAUUAAAGAAAUCAAAGAAUCCAAUUAUCUAACGGAUAAUAAAUCAUGUAUGGAAGCACUCGGUCUAUUUUUUAAGCUCAGAACAAAGAGGGUCAAAAACAUUACAAAGUUUGAGCAUAUGACCCAAGGAUAAUGAAUACUGGGCUACUGUACAUAGAUCAUUAACUUCAGCUAUGGGACUCUUUACAUUACAAAUUUACAAGAAUUUUAAUCAAGUUCUAUAACCAGCAAAUGUUAAUACUUAGUUUUGGUAGAGGGUCCAAAGGCUCACAUGAGGUACUUUUCUUUUUUGUGGAGUAUCCAAAUUUCUCAUCCAAAGGCACGUAGGGGAGGAUCCCUCCUUAUAGCCUAAUAGCUUCUAUGGAAUUUAUGUGUGCAGCAUCAACAACUAAAACAAAAUGACACAAUCUGUAUUUAAUAGUGUUUUAUACGUGAUGUCAAGCUACAUAGCAUUCUUAGGCAGUCAUACUUAUUACUUCAAGGAUACAAGAAUGACAAUAGGUGACUUAUUAGAAAGAAAAAAAAUUAAGUAGAAUCAACGAAAAAUAAUAAAUGUAAAGAUCUGAGGAAGUUGAAGUCGAAGUGAUCAUAUUCUCCUUACCUUUUCAGGAUUUUCACAAGAAGCAGUGAUGUCGGAAAAGCUUAUUUCUGGAGCAAGUGAUAUGCCAGUCCCAUGAUAUGAUAUAAUUCUUUUCUCCCCAAUUUCUUUUUCAACCUGCAAAAUUACACGGUGUCAAAAAAAAUUAGACGAAAAAUAUAUCAGGGCCAACUCUCAAAGGAAGGAACACCAUACCUUUAGUGGAGGGGGCAUUAUGUCAUGGCACAGUAUUGCCAUAGGAUAGAUAUGACCUGGUGGACCUGAAUGAUCGACAAGCCUUCGCAUAUUGUCCACUGAAGAAGAAUCAAAGGGUGCCUGAAUGCCUCAUAAGAUUGAAAUUCAUAAUCAGUAUGGAAAUAUCACAGAAUUGGUUGUAUUGCACCGAGGAUGUUAUGCACUUAGAAUUAUUAACCAUAUAAAAUAUGACAUAAGUUUUACUGUUCAUCAUUUUAUACAACUACAAGCAAAAGAAAGCAAAAAAAAAUUGUCGAACAAUAAUUUGCGCCGAUACACAUAACACAUAAUAGAUCAGAUUCACAAACUAAAACAUUGGAUUAAUAAAUUGGACAGAGCAAUAAUCUGGCAUAGAGCACAACCAUGAGAGAAUAAAGAUAGCCCAAUAAGCAUGGAAAUCAUUGUCAGUUAUCCGUUUUCAUGAUAAGCAAAUCAUAAGGUAAUAAAAGUAUAUAUUUGGUUUUCAAAGCUAAACCAACUAAAUAAUAAAAUGGUGCAGCAGAAAAGAACUCCACAUUUGAGCAAAACCGGGACUUCGUUUCUAGCCCCCUUACCAUCCCACCCGUGAUGAAUUAUCCAUGUACUUGACUCUACCGUAUGUAUGAGACAAGGCUAUGUUGUUGGUUUUUUAUUUUUUUGAAAGAAAGGCUAUGUUGUUUUUAUAACACAUUGGAAUUCAAAUAGUAUUUCCACCUAUUUCCAGUGAAAAAGAUCACUAAGCAACCUUUGCAAACAACUGGUUAUGCUUAGAUAGAGUGUUGGACAUAGAUAGCUCCCAUCCUAACUGCUUCUAACAUACUUACUUUAUUUUUCUAUAAGCAUAUAUAAAAUAAUAAAGGAAAUAACAUAACAACAUGAGCUGGACUGCUCGAGUAUGCUUCUGGAAGCAUUUACCCCGUUAACGAUAUUGUGUUUACGAAUAUGAAUCAUAUGAUCGAUCUAAGAUGUGGCAAGUUUUGAUUAACCUGAAACUAUAACACACUUCUACAUUUUACUUUUACAAGAAAGUGAACUUACCGGUGCCCAUUCCCCAGAGUUGGCAACUGGUCGAUCCCUACCACCGCUUGGGGCAAUCCAAAUUAUUUGUGAUCCACUCCUGUAGCAAAAAACAGUACAUUAAUAUUAAGAUCGAAAUGUCAAUAUAAGGGACAUCUGACCAAUCAACAACUAUUACACACAAAAGAUACUAUCUAAAGGGAACAUUAUCAACUGCUAUUACAUGCUCAUCCCUUUUUUAAGAUUUGGAUUCAAACAUAUCUGUAUUCAGAUUUGUAGAAAACAUGGACUCAAAUCGAUGCAUUGCAGUCUGAAUUGGAAUCAUAGAAGAAAAGCAGUCAUCUAGCUAUAAAUCAGUAUGCAUAUACCUUAAAAGCGUGGCCAUUUCCUUCAGACUUCGUGUAUUUGCUUUUCUUUUCGUCUCUACAAGUGCUGGAUCAUCAAGCAUGUGCUUUUUUGAAUAAACACAGAUCAGAUUCCUACAUAAAUGAAAAAUGUAAUUGAAGAGAUUCAAAGUCAACCUCAUUUAAAUUAGGCAAUAUGCCAGCAUAAAUUUCAAAUUUAAUAAAAAGAAGAAUAAAAUUAACCUGCCAAUACUGAAGGGCUUGCAUAGAGGAUCGGUUAUAACUCUAUCUCCUGCCACAUAAAUCUGUAGAACAAAAGGCAGAAUUCAAUUAGUUCUGCAUUUAUAAAUGUGCAGAACAGACUGUAUAGUCAGAAUAUACACAAGCAAAUUUUACCAAGUUUUCAGCAAUAUGUGGAAGUCGCAUUUCAAGCAGCAAUGCAAUAAUAGCUGGAUCAGCUUCACUUUGGUGGUUUGACAUCAAGAUAAUAUUGUGUCCCUGCAGUAAUUUUUUCAAUCUUUCAAACAUUAACCCCACAUUUAUGAAUAUGUUAACAUAGGGUAAAUAUACACAAGAACCCAUAAAUCAGAAUCAAGGCUGACAUUUCAUGAAAGGCAGUGAAUAUUAUGUCAGUGCUCUCAUUGAUAUAGAUGUGAUAAAUGUAGUACUUAAUGGGGAAAAUUAGAUACAACAACAGCAUCAUCAGCUCAGAAUUUAACAUUGACAAAUUUCAGGCACAUCUGUGACAGGUAGAACCUUACAUUGGUAAAUUUGGUUUUCUAGUAUAAUAGUAACGCAUUAAGUUCAAUUCAUACUUUCAUAAUGAAACUGAUCUGAAGACCAAUGAAAUAUUGAAAACAAUCAAGAGAGUCACGGGAAACAAUUUGUGACAUGAUUUGCAUGGUAGCAUAUUAAAAUAAAUAGCAAGGUUAUUAUGCAUAUUGUCCACCACCUUAAGAAGACUAACUUUUACAUGUCAUAUAGAUAAACUCCAUAUGCUUAUGCAUAUUGCAAACAGAUACCAACCUUAGAAUUUGGUUAUGGUACAUAUAAUAAGGGAGGAAUAUUUUAACUUUCUAUUACUACCUUCACCCUUUCUAGGGGGAAAAAGGUUCUACCAAUAUUUCACAGUAAAAAAAUGAAUAACCGUACAAUGUAAAAGUAAGCAUUUGAAUGAAAAGGGGCAUGUUGCCAACGUUAGAAAUUGGCACCUGCUUAAGUUGCUCUUCCAUUUGUAUGAAAAGGGGCAUGUUGCCAACGUAAGAAGUGCUGCAGAAAAAGUAUUACAUUUAAGAAUAGAUAUGAGGUGCUGUAAGAUGGAACUGGCAUGCAUAUGAACGGGGUAUACAGAUUGCUGGAUGUCAGCAUUAUAAUUUUCAAAGGGGAACUUAAAGCCUACUUUUGAAGGCAUGGUUCCAAAUAUUUAAAUUAAGCAUGAGAACAAAAAUAAAAACACAGUGAUGUGACUUCUAGUUCUAUACAUACAUACAACUAAGAAGGAUCGAGUUAUUUUUUUAAAAAAAAGGGGGAUCAAAUUAACUACAGAUAAAUUCAUAACUAGGGAGCAAAAGCUGAACAAGUGUCAUUUUGUCUGCAUACAUCAUAAAUUCACAAGAGAUCUCCAUUUGAGGGCACAAAGAAAACUGAGGAUGACGCCUGGUAAGAUGUAGUCAAAAUCUGCAAAGGCAUAACCCUAAUGAGAUCAUAGAUUUUGUCGCUUUUAUUGUCAUUUAUAUCCUAUGGUUAGCCAUGAGCAACUUUCAACCAAGCACAAAUGUAAUUGAAUACUGAUGGGCACCCCCAUUGCAGGGUCUAAUGAAUAAACACAUGGUCAUAGGACAGUGGAGAAGUGGGUGAUGGAAGCGGGAAGGGUGGCAAUAUGAUGUAGGGAGUUCGACAAAACAGGAGUAUGGAUCUGUGAAAGAAAUCCGAGGGUCUUAGGCUUUGUUUGGGAGUUUGGAGGGGAGGGCUUUAGAGGGAUGAGAUUAGAGGGAAAAAUAGAUAAGUCUUUCAAAAAAAUUGACUGUGUUUUUCUAGUCAAUGAUAAAAGAAUACUUAUGAUUAAUGUACUUUUGAUUUUGCGAGUAUCAUAACAAUAUAUAUUGAAUUUGGAAAAUUUACCCAAACACCCCAAAACCCUCCUCUAAUACAAUUUUGUAGUUCCCCCAAAUCAGGGGGAUUUUGAAUUAUGAAGAAAACUAAGCCCCUCAAAGCCCUCCCUUCCAAAAGCUCUUCAUUCUUUCCACUUCUUUCUUCCUUUUUUUUCAAGCCCUCCCCUCCCCUCCCCUCCAAACUCCCAAACAGAGCCUUAUGCUGUGAGGCAGGGUAGGAUCUAGCUUCUCCCAUUUAUUAUUUUAUUUUCCAUCUGUGUGCGCGUACAUACUGUAAUUAUAGCAGUUUACCAUAAUUGCUUCUACAAUAUCCACUUGAACACCAAAAUCUACUAUCUAUGUGUCAUACACUAAUGUAUAACAUAUACAUACAAUUGCUUCACCUGCUGCUCUAUUUCUAAAGAAAUUUCCUCCUUAAGCGUAAACAUGAGUUGUCUUAACAUUUAAUCUUGACGCACUGUGGAACUUCUUUAACUACUUAGCAAAAGCACCAGAACGAUUGAAUUGCUUAAUAAACUCUGGGAGGUAGAAUGUCCAGGAUUCAUACAGGAUACAGCAUUUUCACAGGUACAUUGUAUUUGAGCGACACAAGACAGGAUGAAUCAUAAGAACCGUCAAAAUCAAAAUUACAUUGAUAUUCAUUCCCGAUAAACCAUUAGCUUCAACCAACGUGCUAAACAUGAUAAUCCUAUGGGUUAUGGACAACCCAUGCAUGCAUAUCUUAUACUUCCCAUCACAAUCUUAGCUUAUUGCAGUAAAAAAAGUCUACUACUAAUUAGUAAUAUCCAUGCAUGAAAUUUGACUAAUCACAUUUGUAGAAGAUCAACAGCAAAGUCAAAUAAGUAAACUAAACUGAUCAAUGCCAAAGAGAAGAAAGAGGAGAUAAUGUUGCUUGUAACUCACUUGAAAUCAACUAAGGGACGAAUAUAAUUUUGGCCAAACAUGUAGUAGUCAAAAGGCUCUCUCUUUGCUUUAUGGUGUGCUUCAAAGACAAAAGGCUCCUGUUAAAAAUCAGUUCAAUUUUUUAGCAAGGUAUUUCAAAAACUAUAGCAAGAUUAAAUGGCCAAAGAUGCGAGAUGAUGUGAAAAUUUCAAAAAUCGAAGAGUCUGUAUGCAAAGAAACAGUUAGCUUAGCAAAGCAUAUUCUAAUAUUCAAACUGACCUUCACAUCCAAAAAUAUGCGAUCUAAUAAAGCAGUCAUAUUUGACAAUACAAUCUCAUCUGCUUUGGGAUCUCCACUUUUAACAACCUGAAACACGGUUGCAUACAAAAGGAAGUGAAACUAAGUAACUGAUGAAAACAUGAAUUGGUAUUUCAAUUGCAGCUCGGAAAUAAUAUUAAACUACAAAACCAUAGAAAAUAUUGACAAAACUGUUUUUAUUAUCAUAAAGUAUAUAUCUACACCAAGCCAGCCCGGAAAUUAACAAACUAUAUCAACUAUACAAGAACAGAUGACAGAUAUUUUCACAGUUAAAGUAAGCUAUUUUGGGAUUUCAGUUCCACAGUGAAUCAUGAGUAAACUAAUAUCUUUUCCCACAAGAUACUAGAAACUGUUUACUGGUAAAAAAAUACAUUUAACAGUUAACUUCUUUAAUUAAAAGGUUAUAAACAUAGGAUUAACAUAAUAAGACUAUAAACUUACUGCACUUUUAUAGUUAAGGUACAAUUCUUCCAUCCCUUCAGCAAUAGUGGGGGGCAAAGUUCCGGCUUCUACUUCCUUCUUAAUUCCAGAAAGAACAUCUGCAAACAAACAAAUCAAUGUGACAAAAAAUUAACACUAAUAAUACUAAUCAAUCUUCAAUAUUUAAAUAAUCAAACCAGAAACAAAAUUAUAUACAAACAAACCAAAAAUGCCUUCUUGGUCCCAAUUUUAGUUAACAAUAGUCAAACCACAAAAAGAAAAAAGCAGCAACAAAGUUCAAACGAAUUAAAUGUUAUUAUUUAUUUACAUAAAACUAUCAGCGUCAGCAGAAAUAAACUUCAACAACAAUAACUCUAGCAAAAGAAAAUAUAUAUCUAGCAAUGACACUUGAGAUUAAAAUUCUGUCUGAUGUCAUGCCAAACACGACAUCACGCAUCAACUUAUCUGCAACUUAUAGCACAAACGCUUAUUAUUAUAAACAUUAUUUCUAUAACAAAAAAUAAAAUAAAGUAAAAUUGCAAUAAGCUGCUUUUAUAAGCUAUUUUUUGAUAACUUAUGAAAAAAUAAACUAAACACAUCUUAAGAACCACAAGUUCUCCUCCCAAACAGUCUCAGGAAUUUAUACCAAUAGAUAAACUCAAAUAAGUUUCAUAAUUAUAUUCAACUUAUGCCAAUAGAUAAACAGCUCAAAUAAGUGAUUAUACUUAAUCACUUCUAUUUUUCUCAAAAUUAUUAUCUGUUUCUAGUUUCUACAUAUCGGUCAGUAAAACACACAACUAAACUUGAUAAUCAUAAUCAUAAUCAUGUUUCUUUAAUUUUUCAAAUUAAUCAUCGAGACGCGAAUCUUGAAUUAAAGAAAGAAAGAUACCUUGUUCAUUUCUGGCAUUGAGGAAAGUGCGAGAAGAAACAGAAGAAGCCGCCAUAUUAGCAGAAAUUUCUUUAGGUUUUUUAUUAUUAGAAUUGAAAGCAAGAGGAGAACAAUAUGAAGAAGAAGAAGUUCCAGAAGUUGUUACAGAAGAAGAAGAAGUUGUUGCAUUAAAUCGAAGAUGAUAAAAAGUGAAAGAACUACGAAGAGGUAACGAAGAAGAAGAAGAAGAAGAAGAAGAAGAAGAAGAAUAUGAGGCUUUAGGUGGAGAGAAAAAUGCGGUUGAAGGAGAAGAAAAUGGUGUUGUAAACAUUGUUGAAGAUUUCUUCUUUUUGUGACGGUAGUAACAAUUGUGUGACGUAGAAUGUGCGAAAGAAUCGCUCAUCUUCUUCAAUGAAAAAAAAAAGAUUUAGAAUUCAAGACUAGGAUAUGAUUUUUUCGACUGUGUGAAAGGGUGAAUGAGUCUUUUUGCUUUUGUAGUUGGGUCCACUACCACUAUUGGUACCAAUCGUAAUUCGGGCACUGUUGGUUUGACACGUGGGGUUUCUUUAAUGGGGGUUUUGUAUGAACGGAUAAAAUUCGUUCUCAUUUUUUUAAUUAAAAAUAUUAAUAUUCCCGAUUAAUCAUAUUUUUUCUAGAAUAUUUGGUUUUGGUUUAUACACAUAUGGAAACUGUUUUAAUGUGUUAAAUGCACACAUCACUUUUGUGUGGGAUAUGAUGACUCAAAUAUAUUAGAGUUGUAAAUUUCUUCUUAUGGUGUUGUGCGUUUUUAAUUUAAUCUUGCUUGCAUAAUAAGGUUGACAUUUGACUAUAUUGCCACCCUUAUUUUCUAUGAAUUAAAUGGAAAAUAUACAUUUUAUUUGGUCUAAGGAAAGAUUCAUUGAAAGGGUAAGGUUCAAAGUUCAAACGGUAGUACAUAGGCCACCCUGGCAACUUCAUCUACUAUGGUUUGUGUCAAUCUUAAUGCAGCUACUCUAAUCAUAUAUCACAAGGACAUGAACAACAUAAAACUAAAUUAGUCAAUUCAAUAAGGUAAUAAUAAAUUAUAAAAUUUCUGUGAAUCUAACUCAGUUGUCAAGGAUAUUGUAUUAUAUAUGUAUGAUAUGUGUGUGCACGCGUGUGUGUGCACGUUUUAGACAUUAGUAAUGUAGACGUGUUUGUGUCGUUUAUGUUAUCUUUUUUUUUUUUUUUGAAAGAAUGUUAUCCUUGUUGGAGUCUAUCCUUGAUGGAUAAUAAAUAAUAAUCAAAGACCAAAAACAAAGUACAAAGUGGAGGAUCGAUUUUGCCUUGUUUUCACAUCCUAAAGAUUGCAAUUACUUGCAAGAGAGUUAUGUUCCAAAUGUUGAGACUGGGUCUAGAGAUUCAUAUUCAUAUUAUUAUUAUUAUUAUUAUGAUAGUUUGAAACGUGUUUCUAACUCCAUUCUAAGUUCAACUAUUAUGAUGGUCAGUAACAUUCAAUUAGUAGUAUUAAAUAACUUCAGAGUAUCUUAUUGUUAGUGGGUAAAAGAUAUCGAAACCUUGCUGAUUAAUUCAACUCAUUUACAUCUUAAUUUUAUUUAUUCAUUCAUGAUAUAAAAGUAUUUGUCAAACUUUUUAGAGAUGUGGAGUACAUUGAUACAAUUCUUAUUUCACAUUGGUAAGGUUUAAAUCUCAAAAGUAUAACCCUAAAAAAGAAUAAAAGACCUAAAACAAUUAUUAUUUGUACGGCUUUUGGUUAUGUCCUAUAUGAUGAGUUUGUUUUCUUUAUUUUACUUGUUUCUAUUGGGAAAUAAUAAGUUGCUUGAGUUCUUCAAUCAUUUUGGUCAAUAAAGACAUCGAGAAUAUUCACAACUUCGUAUGAACCACGAGGAAAUACACCACAUGUACCUUGUACUUUUGUUUUCACAUUUCAUCACACACGUUGAUCUCAUGGCAUAUACUACAGCCGACAGAGUUUUUUCUACCCCAUAUUGGAUCCCUUUGUUUCAUAUCAGAAAAAUUCAAGCUCGGAAAAAUUCAAGCAGUCUUAGAUUACUAAGUACACGUUUAAAUUCACUCUGGGCUGUUCCAAAAGUAUUUCUAAAUGUUUAAAAUUGAUUUUGAUAUGUUUAAAAGUUCUCAAUUAAAAUUAAUUUUGCCUAUUUGGGAACUAAACUUCGUAGCUUUUGCUUCCAAAUGUGACUUUUGCCACCAUUGAAUCAAAAACACACUUCGUGCCUAUUUGUAUUGGCGGUGAAUUUGGCAGAUUUACAUUUGUCACUGUAAUUUUGACAAUCUCGUCACUCUAAUUUCGCUAAAUCCACGAUUGAUCCAAACGUAAAUUUUACUUUUUCAGAGUUUUUGGAGUAGUACUCAGGCUUAGAUAUCCAUGUGAACACCUUCUGAAAUUCAUCAUUAAAACGGUAGUUUAAAUUUAAAAGAUAGCAGAAUAUAUAGUAUCUAUAUGUUCAAAAUGAAGUCCCCAAAAAUGGAAGAGGUAAGGGAAUCAACAUGAAACUACAAUAACAUGAGAAAACCCAGGUAUAUAAUACAUUAUAUCCGACGGUUCUCUUGGAAACAACAAAAACACAUGAAACAAAUUUAACCAAGGAAGUUCAUGAUCACCAAGUGAAGCACCACAUUGCAGAGAACAAAAUCAGCAAAAGCACGCUCCGGCGCAAGAUCCUGCACAAGGAUGGAGGACCAAAUUAUCAGUAUGAAUAUAUCUAGUGGAGAAAAUAAUAUGCAGACAACAUUUUACUGCUUCAUUUCCUUUCCUUUUUACUUUGUUUUGUCAAAUUAAACAAUGAUUGCCUGGAAUUUGGCUCGUAACAUCAAAACAAAAUUCAAAAUAAACAAGAAAACAAUGUUUACCUUGAAUUCCUUGUUCUCUUUAUUGACUUGGAUUCGGAGACAAACUGAUUCAAAAUAAACGAUGAUAACAAAGAUAAGUACGAUGAAAACUGAAACCCCGUUCAAAUACAUGUGUUUCAACUUGCAAGUAGGUUUAGAAAUCUCUGUAUAUUGGAGUACAAAUGUGCUUAACAUUAACAUGUAGCUUUCAAAUUGCAAUAGACUAUUGACACUUACCAGCCAAAACUGCAGUCCCUACGCAAGAGAGUACUCCAGAAAGGAAGGAGUUAAAUGGAAAUGUUCCCACCAGAGCCAUGUAAACUACCUGUUCAUUACGAAAAAAGAAUGUAAGUGUUAACAAGGGCAUGUAAUGUUAGCAUUAACCUAAUUACUGACUUCAAACCUUCAUAAAAAAUAACUUCUUUUGUGCAAUUUUUUUAAAACCAUUAAAAGUAAGAACUCAUUAAACGAGAAACUGGAAGAGUAUCUAGUAAAGCAAGAUUGCAUAUUUCUUGUUUUACUAAUUUAGAAGCUUAGAACUUCUUUUUUAUUGAAGUUACAUAGGUGAUUGUUCUACAAAUUUCUACAUAAAUACUUUGUUGUUUCUGCAUAAAUUUCUUGUUUUACCUAUCUUCGCAUAAUCCAUAUUUUGUAAUAGUUCAUGAUUCUAUAAAGAAAACAGAAUUCAUAUAAAUCCUUUUGUAGUUAAUCUUUUUUUUCAGAGAGAAAUUUUAAAAGACAAACCUAAACGCCGUGGCAAAGUGUUUGAGGAGAAACAAGUUUUAAAACCAUGUUUAAGACAUAAAUCAGAGGAAUAGAAAAAAUUCCCGCCCUAUCUACUAGGUGUCAAACAGGUAAGGAGAAUGUAAAAACUCAUAUUCACAUAAGUGCAUUUAGUUCACGUUUAAAUCAGACAUAAAUUCAUUUAAGUGCCAAUUUGGACAUUAAAUGCAAUUGACUGAACUCUAAAAACAUUGUUAGUCAUAUCUUACACAUAUAUGCUUUGUUAGUAGGCAUGGCAAUGGGGCGGGGUGGGAACGGGUUUUGCCUUCCCCAUCCCUAUCCCCUACUCCCAUAUAUUUACCCGUUACCCUACCCAUAUCCAAAGGGGAUGAAAAAUUGAAUCUCAUCCCCUCCCCAUCCCCAAUGGGUUCGGGUAUACCCGCCUCAUCCCCGUCCCCGCACUGAAUCAAUUUUUUUUAAUUAAAAAAAGGUUCAGUUUGUUUAAUUGUAUUUUGGAGGUAACAUUACAUAGAGUUAGUAAUCUAAGAGAUGACAGUGUCUCAUGAUCUGGAUCGAAUGAGGGGAAAUCAGAAAAACCUUAGUAAUCUAACAUAUAAAUCUAGAUCAAUCAAAAUUGAGGGAAGAACCUGAAGGAGAGCGGAGAAAACAGCGAAGGCAACAUAGAGAUCGAUGAUCUGAAAUAAUUGAGAGAGGAAAUGAAUAACGAAUUAUGAAGAAAUGAAAAGGGAAAGAGAGAAAUGGAAGCAACCAACCUUGAGAUUUGAAGGUGUAGCGGAAUAUGCAGACCAAAGAGCGCGUAAUAAGUCUUGUGCAUCCUUUGUGGUUGAUGAAGAAGAAGAUGAAGCAGACGACGGCUUUGCCAUUUUCUAUUCACUUCACUCUCUCUCUCUCUCUCUCUCUCUCCUCUAACUCUAAUUUGAAGCUCAAGUCGUCGUCGUCACUCUUCAUUUUUCUCCUUUUUGUUAGAUUUUUUAUUUUUUGCAUCAGGCCGGUUCUUAUCGAUUUAAGCGGUUUUUUUACCGGUUCAUUUGCACACCCAAUCCAAUACAGUGAGAUUCAAUAUUUUUGGUAGUGGUCAAAGUUUGAAAUUCAGACAUUGUCUAUUUUAUGCAUUGUUCUAACGAACUGAGGUAAGCUCCAUAGUGAGAUUCAAUGACUUAAAGAGAAAUUUGUGUUGCAUAUUUUAUAUUAUUUUCUCUCUUUCAUUCUAUUUAUUAUUUAUCUUUCCUAUUUUUUAUAAAACACACAAAAUUGCACUAAAGUCAUCGGAUUUUUCCACUUUAAAGUCACUGAAUCUCAAUUCCAAUAUAGUGAUCGAAUUGGUCAAAGCAACAAUGCAAGUGAUCGAGAGAGAUACUGCAUUUUCAUCCAAUAUCUUAAGGCUGAGUCAUCUCACUUAUAAAUUGUUUAACCUUCAUUUUUUUUUAAACAAUGUUAGAACUCUAAGUCUCCAACCCACAUUUGUCACAUAACAAAUACUCCCUUCGUACCUUUUUACAAGACUACUUUAUAAAAAAGUUUUGUCGUUAAAUAUAAGAUUAUCUAUAAAUUUUUAGAUGCAUUAUUACUUUUUUUUUCUUUCAAAUACACCCUCGUUAAUAUUAUCAAUAUACUUUGAAAUAUGAAAAGUUAACAUUAAGUAUGUUAUGGACAAAGAAUAGUUUGAUACUAAUAGUAACAUACAUUUAUGACAAGUUCAUAAUAUUAUCACAUACUAGAGACCAUGUUCUUCUAUCAUAUCAAACCUUGUAUUUUAAUUGGUUUGUUGGAUUUUUUUGGAAAAAAAAUAUUUUCAUAAUAUGUUUUGACGACAAUAUUCGUCGGGUGGUUGGUGAUUGAAGAAACACUUUAUUUUGGCAUGACAAUUGGGUAGGGGACAUCCCCUUACGGUAUAAAUUUCCUCGCCUUUUUGAUUUGGCUGUCAGGAAGGAGUGUUCGGUGGAGGAGAUGUCGAGGGUAGGUUGGAGGUAGGGGUGGGAGUGACGUCGUAGGUUACUGGCUUGGGAGGAGGAGAGUGUGAGGGAGUGUUCAACGUUACUUCUUAACAUUGUUUUGCAAGAAAACGCUCAUGAUACUUGGAGAUGGUUAUUACAUCCUUCUCAUGGUUACACAGUACGGGAGUCAUAUCGUUUUCUCACAAACAAUGGUAACCUGGUGGGCAGGUCGUUGGUAGAUGAUGUGUGGCAUAAGUCUAUCCCUUCGAAGGUAUCUUUGUUCGCGUGGCGCCUUCUCUGGAACAAAUUGUCUACUAGAGAUAAUUUGGUUCAGCGACGAGCUUUGCUUAUAUCUCACGCUGUUUGCGUGUCUGGCUGCGGUCAAACAGAAACUGCGGUCCAUUUAUUCUUUGGUUGUAAUACGUUCAACGUACUUUGGUCGCAUGUGUUACAAUGGUUGGGUCUCUCUGUGGUGCUUCCAGGUGUCAGUCGUCAACAUUUGCUUCAAUUUACUAAUAUGGGUUUACCUAAGGUCACUUACUCUUUCUUGAAAAUAAUUUGGUUUGUUACUGUGUGGGUUAUUUGGAAGGAAAGAAAUAGUCGCGUGUUCCAAAACGUGGCUUGUGAUUCUUCCUCUUUGGCCGAAAUAAUUAAACUUAAUUUUUUUUUUUUGUGGCUGAAAGUAUCUCAGACAUCUUUCAGAUAUAAUUAUAAUGAUUGGUGGAAAAAUCCACUUCCUUGCAUGGGUGUAAUUCCCUAUACUUUUUGGUGAUCCUUUCUCAAGAUUGGCACCAUUAAUUCGUGUACCUGCAAGUUAGUUUACCUUUUGCAUGUCUUAUGCUCGAUAAAUUAACCUUAUUUAUAAUAUAUACAUCUUAGUUUGUUGAAAAAAAAAAGUUUUGAAACACUAACAACAUACAUAUAUUUAUACACUACAGUUCAAAAAUAUUUAUAUUUUCAUGAGUGAAAAUUAUCAUGUGUUUGAUGCGUGUUUAUUCUCCACUUCUAAUAUAUUUAUAAAUUUUAAAACAAACAAUAAUAUAUAAACACAAAAUCGCAUAUUAGUUAUUAAAAUAUGAAUUAAUUUAAUAAAUAAUCCUUAUAAAAUCAAGAAUUUCGAUUUUAAUCCAUAAAAAAAUAGCAGCUUUUAGUCCCAUUAACAUUUUUAUCACUAAAAUGUUAAAAAGACCAUGUUUUUAGAGGGAUGAUCAUUUAUUAAUUAAUAUGAAAUUAUGAUACAUAGGACCAUUUAUGUAUUUUUAUUUUUUGAAGGACAAUAAGACCAUUUAGUUAACUAACCUUAAAAAUUUUGUCAAUUUUUUUUGUCAGAUAGUUUAGUGGCUAAAAUUCACCUUAUAAGAUAAAUAAAUGAGGUGUCUGGAAUUCGAACCCAGCCGCUACAUAUAAUAAUACAUUGUCCAGCCAACCGAGCUUAUAGGACAUUGUCAAAAAAAAAUUUAAUUAACCUUUAAAAUAUCACAAAAAAUAAAAUAAAAUAAAUAAAAGAAAAUUUCACGUGGUGGAUGUUUCAAACCGUCACUGUUUCCCCUGGUGGAUGUUUCUUCUUCUUUCUCAAAAUCGAAAAUUCUGUAUAUAACCGCUUAAUCAUCUUCACAAGGUAAGUGCUUAAGCUCAGCUCAACAAAAUGGCGUCGUUUUUGACUCUCCCUGCUGUUUCUCCUCGUCUCAUUCCCACCGUUUUAUCUCUCAAACGACCCUUCACUCACACUCCACCUACCUUGCAUUUCAAAAAUCACAGGUUUGUAUUCUCAACUCCUUCUAUCAAAAGUUCACAACUUUUUUCAUUUCUCAAUUCUGGGUUUCAUUUAUUUUUUAAAAUUUUCUCUUAGUUUUCAUGUUUUCUACUAUUUUUCUACUGUUUAGAACAUGUUACCAUGAAAUUUGUAUUACUGAGGUUGUUAAUUUGUUUUCUGAUGAUUGGUUAUUGUUCAUAAUUAUCAAUUUUAGUUUUAGUGAGUGAUGGAUUGUUGCAAGAUAAUUUAUUUGAUUAAUUUUUCAUUUUUUGGAUUUGGUUAGUGAAAUAGUUUAAGUUGUUGUGUUUCAUUAUUGUUUGAUUAAUGUUUAAGCUAAUCAUUAUUAUACAUUAAAAAUUAAAAUUCUACUUUUCCAUUAUGGUUGUUUUAUGUUAAUUAAUCUGUAAACAGCAAAUGAAUGUGUUAUAAUUUGUUUCGUUAAGUUCUUCCAAACAUUCUCAUAAGUGUCCUCUUUGCAACGUGGGUCAUCUAAUCAUCUAUGUCGUGUGAUGUGUCUUCUAAUGGUUUGUGUAUAUUUUCCUGCAGAUUUGCAGUUAGCUGCAGUUAUGCAGGAGGAGGUGUUGGUAGUUUUGAAUCGUCGACAUCAACUAUAGAUGUUGUGGCUGAUGUUAAAAGCGAAAAGGUAUCCGCAGUUCUGUACACUUCCCAUUUUUUCGAUAAUUUUGAUACUUUUCAUUUUUUGGCAUUUUUCGUAAACACAUUAUUGCUUAAAUCUGUCCCUUUGUAGUGUCAGUAAUCCGUGGAUCAUGGGGAGAAUGAUCAUACAAAUGAUAAUGAUAAAGAGGAUACUGAUACACAUGCGGCUGGAUGUUGAAAAACAAACUGAAUUAAUUUAUAGGAUUAUGUAAAAUGAAUACAUCAAGCUCAUUAUAUAAAGCUUAGAAGAAAAUUAACAAACUAACUAAAAUCCUAACUAACUAACUAAAUUGUAACACAAUUUCUGUAUUUCUAAUAUGUAGAUUGUUGUCUUGGGAGGCAAUGGGUUUGUUGGUUCUGCUAUAUGCAAGGCAGCAGUAUCCAAGGGCAUAGAAGUCAUUAGCUUGAACAGGUUUGAGACACAUCAACCUAAUUCACUACAUAUCCCCGUCUAUUCGUCUCUUCCACGCUUCUUUAGUUUUUGUGUAUUCACCUGAGAUUUUGUUUAACAGGUCAGGACGUCCUACUUACUCAGAUUCAUGGAUAGAUCAGGUUACUUGGAUUUCAGGCAUGUUAACUUAACCUAAUAUACUAAACAUCUCUAGGUCUAUGGUGCACAAAUAAGAUAGUGUUGCCGAGUUAAAAAAAGUUUGAUAAUAUUGUACCAUGCCCAAGUUUGUUUUCCACUAUUGGAUCAUUAAAUCCCAUCGUAUCUCACUUGAUCCAAUGGUGUAACUCAUUGAUGUAAUGGUGGAAACAAAUUUAUGUGUGGUACAACAUUUAUCUCACUUGUACAUCAUAGAACUAGCCACUAAACAUGUACAUGUUUUUUUUCCUUUUCUUUCUUGUAAUUGGUUAAGGGCAUUAGAAACACCUGCAACUUUGUGUGGAACUACAUGUUAGAUGGGGAAGAGCCAAUAAAAAAGUAAAAUAGGUGUUGUACAGACUAGUGGUCACACAAGACAAUAUAGGAAUAAGAAUAUAAUUAUUAAAGAAAAAUUUUGUGGUGGCUCCUAUUGUAGAAAAGAGUAGAACCUUGUUUAAGGGUGUUUAAACAUGUGUGGAAAAGACUCAUAGGACUACCGAUAAGAAGGUUUGACUGGAUGAUGGAUAGUGCAAUCUUCAAAUGUAGAGGGCUAUGAAGCACGGAUACAAAACAAACAUGAGACUAACACCUCGACACCAGUAAUAAUUUGAGACAAUGAAAUUAUUGAAUGUAACCACAUAUUUCAGUGUCUUUUUGGUGUUGGACACCGCACACGUCUUCCAUCUGAAGUGUUGGUACUACAUAGGUAGAGGGAGACAAAAAAUCUACGGGCCAAACCAUUAAGAAAAUUUGAGUUAAAUGAUCAAUCUUUGAGCUUAAUACAUACAGGGAAUAAAGACAUUGUCUGACCCACAUAGGGUGUGAUACAGCUUGGUUACUGCUGUAUCUUAUGGUCAAGAUAUACAGACCAAGUACGGUCUUAUAAAUAAGGUCCCAUUGUUCUCUCUAACCAGAUAUUCUAGCUGAUUUGUGAGCGUAUAAACAUCAUAACAAUAUCGGCAAAUUAUAAGAUAGAUAAAUAUAAUUGGUUCUGGGCUUCUGGAAUCUAAGUUAUCAUUUAUGUGAUCUCACUAUCUUUUUUCUGGAGAGUAUUUCAUUGUUGUGCCUAAUAUGCAGGAGAUGUUUUUUAUGUAAACUGGGACGAAGUACUUCCUGGAGCUACUGCAGUAGUCUCAACCCUUGGAGGUUUUGGUAGCGAGGAACAAAUGAGUAAGAUUAACGGCGAGGCUAAUGUUGUGGCUGUAAAUGCUGCAAACGAAUACGGUGAGCCAUCUCAUUGAGCAUUAUUUUGCAGUUAAAUUAUUCACUUGCAAUUAUCUUUUACCUUUCAUGUUUGACUAUAUUAUUGUAGCCCUAAACUUUCAUGCAUACCCUUCCAUAAAACAAGACUUAAGAUUUUGAAAGUGUUGUUAUCUGCUGUUUACAAGGCAAGUUCAUUCUAAUUUCCAUCAACUGUCAUAUUAUAUAUAAGCAGGUAUAGCUUGAUUUGAAGUUGAAAUGCAUAGAAUUGUGUGAUAGUAUCAUUAGAUCAAGUUGAAUGUUUACAGAUAUGGAGAUGGAUAAGUGAAAUAAAUUAUACAUAACCACUUAUAUGAUAAGCACUUAAGCUAGAAUCACUUAAUUAAGUUGUUUAUCCAAACAUAGCCUUAGCAGUUAGCACCUCAAAUGAUUCUUUACAUUUUUGUUGGCUGGUUUGUGUAUAUACACACAAAAAUGGUUUGAUGCUUAUGGUUAUGUGAAGUACGUUAUUUUUGGGAUAUUCUUUUGCGAUGAUGCUUUAAAUUUUUUUAUGGAAUCGGAGAUUAAUAACCAGAUAUGCUAUUCACGUCUCACGCAGCUGUUCUUUUGCCUUGCAGGAAUUCCCAAAUUCAUAUUGAUCUCAGUUCAUGACUAUAAUUUACCAUCGUUUUUACUUUCUUCGGGGUACUUCACAGGAAAGAGAAAAGCAGAAUCUGAGGUUCUAUCCAAAUUCCCUAGUUCAGGUCACUAUUCUAUGCCUUUCAUGAACUUGAAUCUAAAUUGGUUUUCGAGUCUGAUAAACAAAGACCUGGGGUUCUAAACUCAAGUACUCUAAACUCCAAAUACCACUGUUCUGAAAGUGAGUCAAUUGCUGAAAUGAUUAUUUUUAGACUAGUAGAGCUAAAGCUGUAUGAGGAUCCAGGAACAGGAUUUGUGGAAGAUGAAUAUCAUGCUUUUAGGGCCUGUUUGCAUUAACUUAUUUGAGACUAUCUACUGGUAUGAGCAUUUGUGAGAUUAUUUGAGAGAGCUUAUGGAAAAAACUUAUGACAUGAACAUUAGUUGUUUUCAGCUUACUUCCAUAAGCUCUCCAAGAUAGCUUAUGAAAACAAUUUGACUCUAUUUUAUCUUUUGUUAUACAAAUAGCAUUAACUUAUAAAGAAAGCACUUAUAUGAUAUUGAUAAGUGCCUAUGCAAUAAACGCUUAAUUAAGCUUUUAUCCAAACAGAGCAUUGAAGGAUAUAAAGCUAAUACAGUUUAUAUUAUGCUUUUUUAAUUGACUUUCAUUCUCGACAAUUCACUGAAAAAUCCCAACAUCUUCAGGUAUUGUCUUAAGACCAGGCUUCAUAUAUGGGAAAAGGAGAGUGGAUGGUUUUGAGAUUCCCUUGGAUUUAGUAGGGGAGCCAGCUGAAAGAAUUCUAAAAUCAGUAGAGAACUUCACAAAACCAUUAAGCGCGCUACCUGCUUCUGAUCUACUUUUGGCUCCACCUGUUAGUGUUGAUGAUGUUGCAUUGGCGGUUAUCAAUGGUGUUACAGAUGAUGACUUCUUUGGUGUUUUUACAAUUGAUCAGAUCAAGGAAGCUGCUGAUAAGGUAAGGGUAUAAUCCACGUACAUGUCUGGUGUCAUACUAGGUAAAGUAGACCAAAGUCUGCAAUUGCAAAUAGUACAAAGGGAGUGAAAAAUAUGAGGUUAUUUUUUUCCUUGUUGAAUCUUUAGUUUAUUACUCAGCAGUAUUUGAAGUUCCUCUUAUCUUAGGGGAACAAUGACUGCGAGGGGGAAAUUAUGUUAAAAUAUAUUAAAUUAAAUAACCGAUGUCUAUAUCUUUUUUCUGCCAUACAAGUGUUAUUAGUUAAUAUUGUUUAUGAUUAUGGUUAUUAAAGGCCAAUUCUUGAUUUGUGAAUACAAGCUAUACUGUAACCAAUAUUUGACUUGCAUGCUGCAUGUGAUCUACACAAGGAGUUGAUAGGAGUACCUGGUAUAAUGCACUAUCAAUAGUCUAAAAGCAAAAACAAAAAGUUUAGCAUUCUGUCGAAGAAAAAGCCAAAAGUUUAGCAUAUUCCGUGUAGCCAAAAAGAGAGGCGCACACUAUGUGGCUCUUUUCGAUAUUAGCUCGCCAUAUAUUUCAGUCUGAAGCACGACAACACUGACACAGUCACACGGACACGUCAAAACUGGUAAACAAGUUUAAAGAUAAAUUAAUUGAACGUAAUCAGAUUUGUAGGUGUUGUUUCGAACGGGUAUUGACAUGUGUUAGACAACAGAUACAUCUUCAUCAAAAGUAUCAGUGCUAUGUACUGAGAUGAUUAUAUGUAGAUGAUUAUGAGCUAUGACUACCAAUAAGAUGUAGAUGAUUAUGAGCUAUGACUACCAAUAAGAAUAACCAGUAAAUAAUGCGGUUAAAAUAUAUAAAUGCGCCACACAAUCCAAUCCAGUUGAAAUUUAUUGGAAUGCAUAAGAAUUUAGUACUAAGAAUUUAAAACAGAAACUUGUUAUUAAGCUGGGACCUCACUCUAGUCUAUUCUCACCCUUAAUUUGACUUGCCCAGUCACACACUAAUUCACUCUCUUCCUUUUUUGGAGCCUGUUCUGGUUAGUAAGAUUAGUAAACUUGGUUAGGAGGUUAGUUAGACCAAUUAGUUCAAUAAAUAUGAACACUGAUUGUAUCAUUUCACUACCUUUUAAUCAAUCAAUAUGUUUUCAGAGCAAAAAAUAUCAUAGGGUCGGAGUAAUGAAAAGUAUAUGAUACUACUCGAAAAGUAUAUGAUACUGGAGAGACGAAUUAUUUGAAAAUUUUCAACAAAAAGAUAAAUUCCGUUUAAAGAGCAGCGGGAUGAAACGACGCUAAUACUAAGUUUAAGAAAUUCGUCUCUGCAGUAGUACCCCUAGAGGAUACCCAAUUUUUUUCGAAAACUUAAUCUAGUAUGCUAGUAUCACACACAUGUUGACUGCACUAAAUAGCAGACUUGUGAACUUCAGAAGUCACUUUCAUGAAAUUGAAUAACUCUUUUCGUAAGUUAACAUUCUUUUUCAACCAAACAAUGUUAAUGAUUUUUUCUUUAUCUAUACUAGAACAAAUUUGAUAACAUUGGUGCAGUCUCCCAUUUAGAGGCAACCAAGAUCGAGAGUUUGCUUGUGCAUAAUAAUCCUUGGAAGGAAAAGAAAACUAACCACAAGGUGAAAAAACUAAGAUGAGGAUACCAUAGGUAUAUUAUUGAAGAGGGUGAAAGCAAGUGAAAACAAACCACCAUCAACAUUAAAAAAGUUGUUGACAGGAAUGAGCUAAGCUAUAAAAAAAAUGGACAAAACUCAUGUGAUUCUUCACAUAAAAUCCACAUUUUAUGGUUAUAACAAACUUCAAAAAUAUUAUGGAUUGAAAAAUCAUUGGUGGUUAUGAGUAUUUUAUGUGCUCUCAUAACCAUUUCACAAAUUUUACCAUCUUCAUAAGGAAUCAACAUUUUAUGACACUUCUUCGCGGUAUAAUCAUUUCAAGGUUUACGAGUAAUCGAUGUGCACGAAUAUAAAUCCUGUUAAUUAAAACACGGACAACACAAACACAUAACAUUCGGAUCCAAAAUUUGGUGUGCAGACAUCGAAUAAUCUAGACCAUCAAAACACCAAAAUUUGAAGCAGUUGCUGCAUAUUGGUGAUUCCAACCAUCAUAUUGAUUAAGUUAUGUCCAAAAUCUUCAACCUUUUUUCCUCAAGUUCAUAGUACUAAGCAAUUAGUAGCUGAUUAUAAUCAUCAAAACCUUGUUCAUAGGAAUACCCAUUAUGUGCAUUUUGAAUUUCUUGAUCAUUUUGAAUCAGUAUUGGGAAUACUAAUUUUCUCUUCAGGAACCCUAUUAUAAAGCAAUUAGAUUUAUGAAAAUUAUGCGGAAAAACAAAGAGCAGCACGAUUAAAGGAAUGAACAGAAAAAAAGUGAGAUUGUGAAGAAAAUGGAAGAUGCCUUGUAAGAAGAGAUGGUGUUGUCGAAGGUGUUGAUGAGAUACAUCUUCUUCUUUCCCAUUUUUGCAACCUCAACAGAGCAUAGACCUAAACUAGUGUUGAUUCCUUGGAAGAAGGACUAGAAGGAAUGGAAGUGAAGACCACGGAUGACAAAAAAAUUUGCACUCGUGAUAUCUGCAGAUAAAAUCCGUCAUGGCACAAGAUGGAUACCAUAAUAGAUAUUACAAAAUAAACGAUUUUUUAUUUUUUUAAAAUGUUAUCCAUGAAUAUUGAACAAAAUGGGAUGAAUCGAACCGUAGAAUGACCACGGACGACAUGAUCAAACCCGCUACCAUAUGGUUAUCAUGGCCUCUAAUGAAGAUUUAGUCGGACGGGAGUCGAAAACGUGAUCAUGGAGAUUCAGUCGAAAAGAGUAUGUGAUCGUAUGCUAUUAAUCAAGAACAAAUAACAACAAAUUGUAUUUUUGAAAACAAUUUAUUAUUUAUUUAGUAUAAAUAAAAUUAUACCACACUAACCAGAACAUUACGCUCUAUGUUAUGCUCAAUAAUAUUUGUUAUGCUCAAUAAUAUUUGUUGACAUUGGGUUUUGCAAUAGAAAUAGGUCUCAAUAAUCCACUAAGGGUUGAAAACUCCGAUCGGGUGAAGAAAUUGGCCGCCGUCGCCGACGUCCAACAUAACUCGGGUGAAGCUAGAGUUAAUGGCGGUAAAGGAAGAGUGGACGAUGAUUACGUUGAGUUAAUGGUGACGGGAUCCACGACGGUGACUCUGACCGAUUAAAAUGAUAGACAACGACCGAUAAGAUGAUUUAACAUUUUCCUCCUUUGUUUUCUCUCUCUCUCUCGAUAACACCUUCGUCUUCCUUUCUUUCAUUUAAGUGUAGUUCUUUAUGUUAUAAAAUAUCAAUAUUGUGUCAUUUUUUUAUGGGAUUUUUCAAUGAAAUAUGAGUUUCUAUGUUUAUACGAUGAAAAUUGAGUUUGUUUAUGAAUUGGACGAUUUUUUUAUAAGUGGUUUUUAUGAUUUUUUUAUUUUGUCUUAAUAAAAAAAAGAUAACUAUGUUGACAUUUUAUAAUAUAAAUGAUUAAAUCAGAAGAAAAAAAAUGAUUUGAUUAUUACAUAAAAGAUUAAAUCAGGAGAAAAAAUAGAGGAUGAAAGUGUUAGUUAAGUUAAGAGAUAAAUUGUGUAAUUUUUUUUAUGUCAAAAAAGAAAUCAAUGCUUUUUUUUUUUUUUUUUUUUUCUCAGUAAAACUCAAGAAAUAUAAUAGUUUUUUCGUUUUGUUCAAGAACGAUUUUAGUAUUUUUGUACUUUAAUCAAAAUAUACAAAAUUAUGAGUUUAAAAUCAGUAGGAACGUUCUUUAAAAAAAAAAAAAUCAGCAGGAACGUGAACAAGGAUAAAGUUUUGAGGCAAAAAAAAUAAUUAAGCUUUUUUUUUUCUAGGCAAAAAAUAGUUAAACUUGAUUUAUUAUUAGUGUAUUUUUCGUGUGUUAUCCGGGUUUUAUACAUAAUAUUAAUGUGUGUUUUAUGUAUAAUAUUAUUUUUUCCCUAAAAGAAAAUGUAUAAUAUUUAUUUCCCCAUAAAAAAGUAUAAUGUUUAUUAAAAAUCCAUAUAACUCAGGAGUUAUACAAAAAGAUUACUCAUAUUAUCACCUGUAUUUUAUUGAAUAAAAUAUCAAUAAUUGCCUAAAUUAUAAAAUAAAUAAAUUCUAGUUUUUUUCAACGAAAAAUAAAUCGUAGUUAUCUAAAUUGAAAACAUUAUCAAUAAUAUUAGUGUUUGUGUUAUAUGUAUAAUAUUAUUUUUUUGACAAAAUAUGUAUAAUAUUUAUUGAAAAUCUAUAUAAUUUAACAGUAAUAAAAGAAAAAGAUUGUUUAUAUUAUAACAUGUAAAAAAAAAAUUGACAGGAAUAACACUUAAUUUUAUAGCGAUGAUAUAACCCGUAAUUUUAUAAAUAAAUUGUUAAAAUACCUAAAAUAUGUAUAUAAAUGGGGUCUCACAAAUAGACAGUAAGAUUGGACCCCUCAAAUUAAUUGCUCAUUGAACCAGAUAUCAAGCUUAAAAAAAAACUACUUAAAAUAUAGAGUAAGUUACCCUCCCAUCUCCCAUCUCCUAAGAGAUCCUUAAAUUACACUACUCUACCCUUUUAUGUCAAGAUAUGUAUUUCCCAUCCCUCUUCCCUCUUAUGUCAAAAUAUACACUUCACUUCCAUCUUAAGGGAGAGAAUUAUAAUCCAGACAUCUCUUGGGGGAGGGGAGUAUAAUUUAUUUUAGGUUUUUACUUUCAAAAUAAGGGAGUGUAUAUUAUUACAUAAGACGGGAGAAAAGUGUAAUUUACUCUAAAAAAUAAAAUAAAUAAAUCUUAGUUAUCUAAGCUGAAAAAUUAUCAAGAGUGCGUGUUUGGAUGAAAAUAAUGAACACAUGUAGGCAAACAAAAUUAUUUCCUUUAUAAAUAUAUGAAAUUGAUUAAAAUAAAUAAUUUAAUCAAAUAAUCAUCUAAAAUUUUCUCUACCAAUUUAAUAAUUAAAAAAUGAAUGAAUUGUCUAUUAAAUUUGAUAAGAUCUAUGCUAAAUGAAAUAUAUUUUAAAAGGAAAUUUAAUGAAGGAUAAAAUUGAGAAACAAAUAAAUAGUUUAAAAUAAUAAUAAAACUCAUGUGAAUUUCUUUAUGUAUUUUUCAUAGGGUAGUGAUACAUAAAUCACCUUAGGUGGCAUAUACCACUUGUACAUCCACAUAUAAUUGUGACAUGUGUCCAUGUGGUCCCUACACGCACAAGAAACUCAUCUUUUGUGUCUCUCAAACACUAUCACAUGGAAGUGGUACAAUGUGUGUAUAGAGAAAAGGGUGUUCAUGAAACAUUAUCCUUUUUCAUAUGAUUCAUAGCUAAAAAUACACAUGAGUAGUUUAUUUAGGAACCAUAUGAAAAGCAUCUAAGAAAAUGUACCUAAGUGAUUUUAAUUGUGUGAAUAAACCAUACAAAAAGCUUUCUUAAAUGUUUUUCAUGUGGUACUUCACAUAAAAUACUCACAACUACCUAUGAUUUCUCAAAUUCACAAAUUUUUCAAAGUUCGUUAUAAGUUAUAACCACAAAAAUUGAAUUUUAAUUGUGUGUAAAACCAUUUGAAAAGAAUGUAAUCAAGUUAUUUUGUAGUUUUUUUUAAUAAGUUAAAAUGGAUUAUAAAGAACAGUAAACAUCUGAGUUCUCUAACACAAGAUGUGCUGAGAGAAAACCAGAGAGAAAAAGUAUUAAGUUACAUCAAAAGUCGAAAAGAAAAAAAAACAAGAAACUAGAACAAGGAGCAAAAACAAAAGAGAGUUCUAACAUGAUGCCCAAACAAACUAAAGAGUUAAGCCAUUAAAAAUGAUAGGAGGUUAGUUAGAUCAACUAGUUCUAUAAAUAUGAAUACUAAUUGUAUGAUUUCAAUAUCUUUUAAUCAAUCAAUAUGUUUUUGGAGCAAAUAAAUCAUAGGGUCGAAGUAAUGAAAAGUAUAUGAUAUUGGAGAGACGAAUUAUUUGAAAAUUUUCAACAAAAAAUAAAUUCAGAUUAUUUUAUCAAAGAACAGUUGGAUGAAAAGACACUAAUACUAGUUCAAAAUAUAAAUUAAGUACUUUAAAUUAAUGGAAACAUACGUAGAAGUAAUGAUAUCUCUGCAAACAAUUUAUAAUGAUAAUUAAGACGUGCAAUUUGUGUAGAGAUGUUUAUACUAUAUGAAACAUUGAUUUUUUAAUUAAAAUAUUGUUAAUGUGUUAGUAUAGUACAUGUCCAUAAUAAACAAUUAAAUAAUAUUUAAAAAAAAAUAAAAACUAAACUUAUCGAAUCAAAUUAUUUUGUAGUUUUUUUAAUAAAAAAUGGAUUAUAUUGAACUUUAAACACAUGAGUUAUUUAUCAUAAGAUGUGCCAAGAGAAAAUCAGGAAAGAAAGUAUUAAGUUACAUCAAAUUAUGUUCGAAAAAACAAGAAGCUAAAAUAAGGAGCAAAAGCAAAGAGAGUUACAACAUAAACUCCAAAGAAGCGAAAGAGUUAAGCCAUCAAGAAUGAUAGGAGGUUAGUUAGACCAAUUAAAAGAUUAUGAAACUAAUUGUAUCAUUUCACUAUCAAUCAAUAUGUUUUCUAUGCAAAAAAGACCAUAGGGUCGGAGUAAUGAAAAGUAUAUGAUACUACUUGAAAAAUAUAUGAUAUUGGAGGGACGGAUUAUUUGAAAAUUUUCAACAAAAAGAUAAAUUCCGUUUAAUUAAUUGUAGAGCAUUUGGAUGAAACGACAGUGAUACUAAGUUCAAGAAAUUCGUCUAGUAUCACACAAAUAGAAUAACUUAAUCUAGUAUGCUAGUAUCACACACAUGUUGACUGCACUAAAUAGUAGACUUGUGAACUUCAGAAGUCACUUUCAUGAAAUUGAAUAACUCUUUUCGUUGGUUAAAUGAACUCUUUUCGUAAGUUAACAUUCUUUUUCAACCAAAGAAUGUUGAUGAUUUUUUCUUUAUCUGUACUAGAAUGAAUUUGAUAACAUUGGUACAGUCUUCUAUUUAGAGGCAACCAAGAUCGAGAGUUUGCUUGUGCAAAUAAUGGGUUAAAAUUAAAAUCCAUUUGACGAAAAUUCCACAAGCAAAUGAUCAUCGAUUUUUUCAUAAUAACAAACUACGUAACUGUAGUAAAAGGAAAAUAAUAAUAAUCCUUCUAAGGAAAAGAAAACUAACCACAAAGGUGAAAAAACUAAGAUGAAGAUGCCAUAAGUAUGGGUGAUUUUAAUUUGCUGUGAAGACAACGGAAAAUAAAGGCUUAAAUAUGUAAAUCUUUCAUGUAAUUUGACGUGGUGUUGGUUUUUGUCCUUGUAUCUUUUUUUUUUCUUUCUAAAACAACCCCCCGUGAGUUAAUGACUUUCUGCUUUUUGUCCCUCCCAUCAAACUCUUACAAAAACAUCUUGAUGGCUAACGGCGUGUGACGUGGCGGGUGCUGACUUGCCCAAACACGCUUAUGUGUAGGCAUGGCAAUGGGGCAGGGUGCGGACGGGUUUUGUCUUCCCCAUCCCCAUCCUCUACUCCCAUAUACUUAUUUGUUGCCCUACCCAUAUCCACCGGGGAUGAGAAAUUGAAUCCCAUCCCCGUCCCCAAUGGGUUCAGGUAUUCCCACCACAUUCCCGUCCCCGUAGUGAAUCCUUUUUUUUUUAAUAAAAAAAGAGUUUUCUUUAAGCUUCAAUGGUAAUAUUGUAAUGCAUUAUCCAACAAUUUGCGCUCAUUUUAACAUUUCUUACUAAAUAAUUCGUUUACUCCUUUAACUAUCAAUGAAAGUUCUUAUAUCAUGACAAUUAUCAAACCAAAUAAUAUGGCAUAUCAUUAUCAAUCCCCUCAACAAAAAAUAAACAUACCUUUCUACAUUCAGGUAGGGUUUGGGUAUGGGUUCAGAGUGGGUACAUAUAUCUCUGUUACCCGUCCGGUACCCGUAUUUUGAAAUCGUGAAAAAUCCAAGCCCAUACCCGAACCUAGUCAAAUCGGGGUUGGUUUGGGUGGGUACCCAUGGGCAUGAGUUUUGUUGCCAUGCCUACUUAUGUGGAUUGACAGAUGUUCCCUGACUAGAGUACAUGGACCAAAACAAAAAACAAAAAGUUACAGUGGGAUGAAAUUAAAAACACAUAAAUAACAAAAUUUGAAAUUUAGGCAGCCUUCUAGAUGAUCCCUGACUAUGUUAUGGGGACCAAAACCAAAAAUUUGAAAAGGCAUUUUUGUAACGAAGUUUGGCAGGAGGGACCAAAAGCAAAAAAAUAUUUAACUUACAGGGGCUGUUUUAGAAGGAAAAAAAGGAUACAUCAACGAAAAUUAAGAACACGUUAAAUUACAUGGACGAUUUACAUAUUUAAGCCAAAAAUAAAUGUAUAUUUGAUUGACAACAUUAAAAGCAAGAGGGUGAAGGGGAAAGCAAGUGAAAACAAACCACCGUGUGCAUCAAAAAAGUUGUUGACAAGAAUGUACUAAGCUAUAAAAAAUUGGACAAAACUUAAGUGGUUCUUCACAUAAAAUCCACAUUUUGUGGUUAUAACAAACUUCAAAAAUAUUAUGGAUUCGAAAAAUCAUCCAUAGUUAUGAGUAUUUUAUUUGAAGAAUCGCACCAAAAGCAUCUAAAAAAAUGCACUUGUUGUAAUAAAUUUUCACAUGGAUUCCACCAAUAUUAACAAAGAGAAAUCAAACAAAAGCAUGAAGUUACAAAAUAAAAGCAUGAAGUUUAUGGCCGUUGCUGGCAGUCAUCUUCAGCUACGUAGUUGCUACUACUACUGCUUUCGUCCUCUUCAAUUGUCCCAUGGACCAUGGCUAUAUGUGUUUCCGGUUAGAUCAGAAUAUUGUUUUUCUCUGGAUUUUGCGAAGAUGUAAAAAUGUAUAUCAAUUACCUAACUCUAUAGAAUAUGGACCAGAACCCUUUCGCCACCACUUGAAGCAUCUAGCAUAUAGCUCAACAAGAUACCUGUUAUCAUCAUUACUUCAAUGAUUAUACAGAGGAUACUAUAGGAUAUGUAUAGCUCAAAAAUUGCAAGACCUAACGACUUUUGAAGAAGCAACUAUUAAACUUUUUUAACUCUCACACAAGAAAGAUCUAGUAGACUGAUCAGUGCACAUAAUAGAUCCAGGAUCACAUAAAGAAUCCACAACAUACAAACCUAAGAGAAUAUUUGAACUCUGAACACACAAGUGAAGCCAUGAGGGUUUGACAUGGAUUUUAGUUCCAGAACAACAAAAGGUAGCUUUUGAUGCAAACAAAACAAUUCCAGCUUUUGACUAAGUUAGAAGUACUCAUAUAACCAUAAAUUUGGCCCUUUCAUUUAAAGAAAAAAUUGGUGCUUUCCUAAAAUUAUUUUAUUUUGUUGCAGAAAAACGGCUUAGAGCAUCAAUCAGUCAAUCUUAAGGGUAAAAACAACAUUUCUGAUCAUGAUGAUGGCAACAAUAAAUUCAAUAUUAGAAGCAUGGAAAAGAAAUAUUAUCAAUUAAUUUAACAGCAACGAAGAUGCUAAUGUAGAUGUCUCCUUUUACGUAGAAAUGUUUGCCUCCAAUUACAUUAACAUCUCCAAAUAUUACUAUUCUAAUGGUGGACAGCGCCCUCUCUGCUGCUCUCAUUGCCAUUUCAUAAAUUUUAUCAUCUUCACAGGCAAUCAACAUUUUAUGACCCUUUUCUGCAGUAUAAUCAUUACAAGGUUUACCAGGAAUCGAUGUGCAUGAAUAUAAAUCAUAUUGUCUAAAACACGAACAACACAAACACACAACAUUAGAAGCAGUUGCUGAGUAUUUGUAAUUGGUGAUUCCAACCAUCUUAUUGAUUAAUUUGGUCCAAAACCAUCAACCUUUUCUUCUUGCGUUCAUAGUACUAAACAACUAACUGAUUAUAAUCAUGAAAAUCUUGUUCAUAGCAAUAUCCAUUAUGUGUAUUUCGAACUUCUUGCCCAUUUUGAUUCAGCAUUGGGAAUACUAAUUCUUUCUUCAGCAACCCUAUUAUAAAGCAAAUUAGAUUUAUGAAAAAUUAUGUGUAAAAUCAAAGAACAGCACGAUUAAAGGAAAGAACAGGAAAAGUGAGAUUGCGAAGAGAAUGGAAGAUACCUUGUAAGAAAGAUAGUGUUAUCAGAGGCAUUGAUGAGAACUGAAUUAUCCCAUACCUCUCCUGCUUUCCCCAUUCUUGCAACCUCAACGGAGCAUAGACCUUCUUCCUGAAACCCUUUAAUACCUAAACCUUAGUAGUCAUUGGUUGAUUCCUUGGAAGAAGGGCAAGAAGGAAUGGAAAUGAAGACUCACCAGUCUAUUCAUUUUUUAAAAUCGGCCAAAUAUUAGUAUUCUAAUAUCUUCCACAAGAUCAAACCGUAAAACUAACAAACCCCGCUUUAUCAGAGUGAACAAAAUCGACAUGAACCAGCACCAGUAGAAUAACCCAUACAAAGCCUAUGGUCAUCAUGGCCUCUGAUAGAGAUUCAGUCGGAGGGGAGUCAAAGACGUGAUCAAAUGCUAUCUAAACUGACCAAGAGAACAAUAAAUAACAACCGAUUGUAUUUUUGAAAGCAAAGACAAUAUUAUUAGUAAUUUAGUAAAUAAAAUCAUACCACAAAACAAAAGCAAGCGCUAAGCAACCCAUGAGCACUUAGAUUAGAUGAUACAUGUCUUCUAGCUUAACCAAAGUCUGUAGUCUUAAGAGAGUUUGUUGCUCAUUUAAGUUCCACAAGGCUCGUGAGAUUAGUCUCCACAGCGUAACAUAAAUUCAUUGGAUUGUUAAUUAAUAAAAAUAAGAAUGAACAAAUCAGCAAUCAAUAUAUUAGAUUUUGACUCAACAAGCAAAUACACAAAAGAGAUAAGUCGUUACACAUGAUGAUUUUCCAUAAUAGGAGAUAACACACUAUAUAUUUUGUUUACAAUAUAUAAGACAGUCAACUUCCAAUUUCUAGCUAUGCAACAACGGCUUAUAUGAGAUGGAUGAUGAGCGAGAUGAAAAAAAUUAUAAUGACGGCAUAAAGUUAACAAUGAAAUAGUUUUUUGUUUUGUUUAUAAGAUCAGCGUGUUAAGAAAUCACAACAUGUAUAUCCAGAUUUAUAAUUUUAUAGUUUCAAUAAUUUUUGAGUGGAUUUGCUAAGUAAAAUUUGUAUAAGACUCAUGACUAUACUCUAAUUCUAUUUGUCGACAUCAAUCUUGCAAUACGGAGGCCGCGGCUCCGAUGACCAAUAUGAAAAGUAGGGUUAAGUGUUACACCAGUAAAUAAGUUAUAUAAUAGGUUUAAUGGCUCUUUCUUUCAAAAAAAAAAAAAAAAAAAAGAGUAAGUAAGUUAUAUAAUAGCUUUUUUUUUAAUUAUUUGGAAGGAGAGUAUCAAAUGGUGAAAUCAUUGAAAACGAUAGAAAUUACACAUUCGUCUUUUAACUUAAUUUCGAUUAACAUUUUUGUCCCCCUAUCCUUAAAAAAACAUUUUCGCCAUUUUUUUUAUUUUUCUUUCGAUUUAAUCAUUUAUGUUAUAAUCAAGUAACAUUUUCGUCUUUAUCUUUUUUUUACUUAAUCUUUUAUGUUAUAAAACGUCAAUAAUAUAUAGUUUUUAUGGAGAUUUUUAAGCGAAAUAUGAGUUUCUAUGUUUGUAUGAUAAAAAAUUGGGUUUGUUCAUGAGUUUGACGAUUUUUUUAUAAGUUAGUUUUAUGAUUUUUUUAUUAAAAAAAAAAGUAGGACAUUUUAUAAUAUAAAAGAUUAAAUCGCAAAAAAAUAAAAUAACGGAAGUGUUACUUGAUUAUUACAUAAGAAAUUAAACCGGAUAGAAUGAUUUUAAUAUUUUACUUAAUCAAAAGAUAAAAAUUUAUGAGUUUAAAUUUAGCCUUAAAAAAUAUAGUAACAACGAUUAUUACAUAAAAGUUUUUUUUGAGGGGCUUAGGCCCUCAUUUUUAUCAAAUAAAAAUUAUAAAGUUUUUGAGGGAUAACUUUGCUGUUCUUGUGAUCUUAACCAACUUAAAAAAUAAAUCUCUGCAUCAAAGGCAAAUAAAUAUUUAAAUUUGAUUUAUUACUAGUGUAUUUUUUUGGUGGUGCUCGAAUUAUAUAUAUAUAUAUAGGGUGUAUCAAAUGAGAGGACUUUUAUAGUGA